RNAcentral lists this long non-coding RNA (52771 nucleotides) under Triticum aestivum (bread wheat). RNAcentral's name for it is "long non-coding RNA (TAES_LNC003066)". The record is from RNAcentral. Lineage: Eukaryota; Viridiplantae; Streptophyta; Magnoliopsida; Poales; Poaceae.
UUUUUUUUUGUUGGAUAUUUUCACUCACGUCACGGUCACGUGUGGAUUGUACGUGCGGGUGCUGAUAAAAGUGGACGUACCGUGGUGGAUAGUAAAAAAAAAAUUUGGCGAGUAAUACGCGCCGGCGCGCCGGCCGAAUCUUUCGGCCGGUCCACUGGCGGUCAUACGAUUAAAAUGAUUCAUACCGUACGAUUGACUUCAAAAAUGAAUUGUUGUCUUCCUCCUAGGCUCCUACUCUUUCAACGCAGAAAAAAAAAAUCCAUCUUCUACUAUUGACGUCCCUACAGCAACCUUGCACUCCAUGGAUAUGAGAGUGCUGCCGGCUCGCCGCCACUCGCCUUCCCCACCGGUUCCAGCAGGACGCCUUCCUCGCCGGUUUCAGCAGGGCGCCGUCGCAGCAUCCAGUCGUCGCCCUGUAGCAACGUCCGCCAUUUUGCAAGACGCCUGAUGCCUCCGUCCUUGUAGCAACUAGUCGCCGCCAUAGUAACACGCCUGUCGCAGCAGCACCAUGCCACAGGCCGUAGCUUCGGGCGUCACCGCUCAUACAUUGUCAGCAGACGGCCCCGGUUUUUGAAGAUUCACGAUGGAAGCCUUUAUUACACCGGUUGAAGCUUUUUUCUGUAUGGUUGAAGCUUUUUCUGAUUUCGAUCGAAACAUUUUUACACGGGCUGAAGCUUUUCUCCACGUUCGAAGCUUUUCCUCUACGCCAGUUGUAGCUUUUUUCCAUGGUUGAAACUUUUUCUAUACCAGUUGAGGCUUUUACAAUUGCCGGUUGUGGCAAUCGUGGCGUCAUCCCCCAUCGCCGCCCUAGCACCACUCUGUCGAUGUAGCAGAAGAUUACAUCAGUUCCAGCUUCUAGUUUGCUGGUUGCAGCAAACUCUACGCCGCAGUUUGCCCCCGGCACCACGCCCGUCGCCGUCGUGGCAGCGCCUCGUGUUGGUUGCAGCAAAACAGUUGGCCCGUUCCAGCAAAUGGUGGUGCUGUUGGUAGCAAAUGGGAUUGCCGGUUGUAGCUCCUCAUGCUGCCGGUUCCAGCAACGACGCCCACAGCUUGUAGCACCCACGAUGGUUGGUUCCAGCAAUUGUGACGGCGGGUUGUAGCAGCCGUAGUGGCCGGUUCCAGCACCACUGUUUGAUGAUUCCAGCACCGGCGGGAGGCGGGAAGGUAGCACUAAUGGCGGGCGUUUCAGCACCUGCGUGGGACGUUUUCCAGCAAAACCGUGAGGCCGGAUCCAGCACCUCCAUGGCCGGAUGUAGCUUAUGUAGGAGGCGCCCCCAGCCAACCUCUCCAUUGACGCCGCUAGCAGCUCGUCCAUGGCGCAAAUAAAAUCCCCUUCCUAGAUGGCUCGAAUCCGGUCAUGGCCUGCGCCCAGCAGAUGAGUACGGCCAUGGAGCUUGCAGCAGCAAGGCACUGCCGCACGGUGAUCUAUUUUGGGUAGUCCUUGUUGUGAUUUGCUGCGGGGAGGAGGGAGAAGCAUGGCGUAGUUAUGGAAAAGGGGAGAGAGCAGCAAGAACGGAGAUGGGAUGCGGGCGGUGGUGAAAGAAGAUAAGGAAAAGGAAGUUGUUUCUAGACGCGUGGGGCCCUGGCACGUGGUGUGCGUGCGCGCGAUCGGCGGGCGUUUCAGCCAGCGCACCGGCUAGAAACGUUUCCCUUUUUUUAAGAACGUCCGUAAUAAUUAAGCAACAAAGCUUACACAUAGUUGACGUAAAAAAGAUUACAUGGAGUUUCCUUUUUUUUCGAAAAUUCCAUAGAGUUUCUCGGAUACAAUUCGAGCGAAAGGCCAUUAGUGUUCAUACAUGAUUUAGCUAAAAUAUGAGCCACUACAUUGUACCACCGAGGAACAUGUCUGAAGUCACAGAUAUGAAGCUCGACAAUGCACAUUUGAUACCAGCCACUACAAACCCCACAUACGAGCAAUCGCGGGCUGAAGAAUUGAGGUGAUGCACUAGGGAAAGGCAAUCCGAGGCAAAGAUGACCGAGUUGAUGUUCUCCUCGCGCGCCAAAACAACUUCUCGGCAAAGAGCAAUGGCUUCUGCCAGCUCAGGAUUCAUAGUGCUUGGGAGAGCCUCAUAACAAACAAGCAUGCACUGGCGACCAUGAUCUAGAAGGACGCUGCCAUAACCAUACAUGUCGAGUUCAUCAAAUAUAGUAGCAUCAGAGGAAAAAAACAAUGGACCCUGGCGACGGAGGAGACCAAGAAGGGCUUGAUGCAUGGAUCUCAUGAUUGUGAACAUGGGACAGGUUAUAAAGAUGUUGCACAAUCAAGUCAACAUAAGUAAUCUUCAGGGAAGUGUGAUGCGGAUGAGAGGCUCGUUGUUGUUCCUCGUAGAGUUACGUGCCCCCAUAUGUGCCAGACCGCAAUAGCUAGCAUCAUAGCCGACAGUUUGCAUGCUCCCGGUAGGAAGUGGAAGAGCCAUGACAAGGCAAGACCAUCAAGACUAAUGUUGAAGGUGUGCUUCACUUCCUCCCACACUUCCCAUGCAUGCGGACAAAACAGGAGGGCAUGCUCAACACUCUCGACCCUGCCACAAAAACAACAAAGCUCCGAGUCCAUGACGUUGAAGCUAAGACUCCAGAUGGCAAGCGAUCAUGGACAAGAUGCCAUAGGAUCACUUCAUGUUGUUCGGGGUAGUGAUGGGAAAGAUCGACUUCCAUUGUUUCUCCACUUGUCAAUAGGUGAUCGUCGAUAUAGAAACUAGAGAUGAGUUCUUAGAUUGUUCGGUCAAGGGUGAAAACACCCUCGUCGCUCCAUGAGUCACAGUGAGGCAGUUUACCCAGGUUCAGGCAUUUAGGCCACCGGCGAUGGUGUAACACCCUACUCGUGCUAUGUGUUUCUUUUCAUGUGUAUCGAGAGAGAACUCACUGCUUAUAGACUGCAUAGUGAGCCCCUUAUGUUCUAAUUCUUCCUUCCCCUUUCCUCUUGUCGGUUGCCUAUCCUUUUAUACACGAAGAAAAAAGUUGGCUCCUGAUGAGUGAUUUUUUGCACAUUCCACCAUUAUUUAAACCUGAUAAUACCGGAAUAUCCAAGAGGGUCACUUGGAUAUUGCCACUAAUGACUAAUGAAUGCAACAAAUUGUGAAAUCCUUUGUUUAAUGUGUUUCCCUAGGAACUGGACCCAAUCAUGGAAGAAAAUCAUCACAUAGAAGGAAACACAAAGUGUGGGAGCCAAGCCAAGCCAAAUGGGGUCGCCAUGAAGGCAACAAAGCAAAAGACGGGGCUCGGUAUGAGCAUGCCCGCUCGUACCAGCAGCCGUACUCACCACCAUCAGCACUGUAUCGUCCAACCAAACACAUUUUAUAAAAGGGCCCAAGUCUGGUUCGCAACAAAGGAGUCGGAAAAUAUUGCAGAGCACCAUCAGGAGCCAUUCACGAACCCUAGUGGCCGACAUUUUCCAUCUCAUCUCCAUAGCCAUCACCACCUAGUCAUUCUCUCAAGUUAGUUGUACUUGUAAUCGAUGCAUCACAAUCCGCAACUAUUGUAAGACAAUUCAUCAAUCAUUCAUCCUUAUGACGUCUUCAAUGAUUUCUUCGUGCGAUCCGAUCACGAUGUGUGAGUAAUUCACUAAGGCAAUGGGUUGAGGAAAGGCCUUGCAACCCUUUGGUAUGUGUGCACACUUGUUAGAUCAUUUUGCCUAAUUGACGUUAUUUGUAUGUGUGAUUCGCAACGGAGUUGUCUUUUGUCUUCUUCUCAUUCGAAGGCCCUGUAGGUACCCGGGAUAUCAUAGAUCGAUCUAGGAGGAGGUAAGAAGCGAAGAUGGGUGGAACGUGAUACUCUCCAUCGUAUCUACUUCUCCUAACGCUUUUGCUCUUGUUUUGGACUCUAAUUUGCAUGAUUUGAAUGAAACUAACCCAGACUGACGCUAUUUUCAGCAGAACUACCAUGGUGUUGUUUUUGUGCAGAAAUAAAAGUUCUUAGAUUUGGACAAAACUUUUUCGAGAAUUAUUUUGCAAUAAAUAAAAAAUACUAGAACCAAGACCCACUAGAGGGGGGCCCUGGCUGCCCACAAGACGCCAGGCACGCCACGCCCCUCUAGUGGGCCCUGGUGGGUGGUGGGGCCCUCGAGGCUCCGCUGACCAUAAUUCCAACGCUAUAAAAUCUUGUUUUUCCAGAAAAAAUAGGAGAGGAAGUUUCAUUGCGUUUUACGAUACGGAGCCGCCGCCACUUCCUAUUCUUCAUUGGGAGGCCAGAUCUGGAGCCCGAUCAGGGCUCUGGAGAGGGGGGUCUUCGAUCUUCAUCAUCAUCAACCAUCCUCCAUCACGAAUUUCAUGACGCUCACUGCUUGAAGUGAGUAAUUCCUUCGUAGGCUCACUGGUCGGUGAGGAGUUGGAUGAGAUUCAUCAUGUUUGAGUUAGUUUUGUUAGGGCUUGAUCCCUAGUAUCCACUAUGUUCUGAGAUUGAUGUUGCUAUGACUUUGCUAUGCUUAAUGCUUGUCACUAGGGCCUGAGUGCCAUGAUUUCAGACGUGAACCGUUUAUGUUUUCACCAUUAUAUCUAUGUUCUAGAUCCGAUCUUGCAAGCCGUAUGCACCUAUUAUGUGUUAUGAUCUGUAAACCCCAAGGUGACAAUAAUUGGGAUACUUUCCGGUGAUGACCGUAGUUUGAGGAGUUCAUGUAUUCGUUAUGUGUUAAUGCUUUGUUCCAAUUCUCUAUCAAAAGGAGGCCUUAAUAUCCCUUAGUUUCCUUAUGGACCCCGCUGCCACGGGAGAUUAGGACAAAAGAUGUCGUGCAAGUUCUUUUCAAUAAGCAUGUAUGACUAUUUACGGAAUACAUGCCUACAUUAUAUUUAUGAACUGGAGCUAGUUCUGUGUUGCCCUAGGUUAUGACUGUUAUAUGAUGAAUAUUAUCCAAUGAAUUCUCCGAUCCAAUGCCUACGAGUUUUUCACAUAUUUGCUCUUGUUGCGUUACUAUUGCUAUUGUUACUGUUACAACUACUACAAAAAUGUUACUGUUGUUACUGUUACCACUGCUAUCGUUACUACCACUAUCAAACUAUCAUAUUACUGUGCUACUGAUCACUUUGUUGCAGAUAUUUAAUCUCCAGGUGUGGUUGACUCAACUGCUAAUACUUAAAAAUAUUUUUUGGCACCCCUUGUGUGAAUCUAUAAAUUUGGGUUGAACACUCUACCCUCGAAAACUGUUGCGAUCCCCUAUACUUGUGGGUUAUCAAGACCUUUUUCUGGCGCCGUUGCUGGGGAGCAUAGCUAUAUUUGUUGAGUCACUUGGGAUUUAUAUCUAUUUAUCAUUAUGAGGAAUCUAAAAGAUACAAGAACCAAGAUCAUUCCCUCUAAGACGAGAGGAGGUAAGGAAUUGCCAUCUAGCUCUGCACUUGAUUCACCUUUUGUUUUGAAUAGACCUGCAACACCACCACAUGCUAUUAAUCCUGAUAUGUCGCAAGUUAUUGAUAAUGAUGCUUCUGCUAUGAAUGAUGCUUAUGAUGAUGCUAGUACCUUGCUUGAUGAUAAUGUGCCACGAGGUGAAUUUCUUGAUGAACAACUUGCUAGAGCUAAAAAUAUUGAGAAUGCUGAAACUGAUGAAAUUAAUGAAACUGAUGAAGUAUUUGAAACUGAGAAUUAUGAAACACCUUUUAGACCUAGCUCUCCUAGAUUUGAAAUGCCUAAGAUACCUGAGGGUUAUGUUAUGGAUGAAGAGGUAGCUAGAGACUUUCUUGCUUGUAAGGAUAGAGAUGAUCUAAAGAAACUACUAGCCAAGUUGAAAGAAAAAAAUUGAAUGCUAGAAUGAAAUGUGAUCCUAAGUUUGCUACUUCACCUAUCAUUGUUACUAAUAAGGAUUAUGAAUUCUCUGUCGACCCAGAGUUAAUUACUCUGGUUGAAUCUGGUCUUUUCCAUGGCUAUGAAAUUGAAACUGUAGUGGCACAUCUUACUAAAUUAAAUGAUAUAGCCACCCUAUUUGCUCAUGAUGAGAAAAUUCGCUACUACUAUAUUCUUAAGUUGUUUCCUUUCUCGUUAAAGGGUGAUGCUAAGAUAUUGUACAAUACUCUUGCUCCUGGUUGUGUGCGUAGCCCCCAGGAUAUGAUUUAUUACUUCUCUGAAAAAUAUUUUCUUGCUCACAAGAAACAAGCUGCCUUACAAGAAAUAUUUAACUUUGUGCAAAUUUAAGAAGAGAGUCUCCCACAAGCUUGGGGGAGGCUUCUCCAAUUACUUAAUGCUUUGCCUGAUCAUCCUCUUAAGAAAAAUGAAAUACUUGAUAUCUUCUAUAAUGGACUAACCGAUACUUCUAGGGACGUCCUAGAUAGUUGUGAUGGUUGUGUUUUCAGGGAUGAAUUGUUGAAUAAGCCGAGGAAUUUUGAAUAACAUAUAGAAGAAUUAUGAUGAUUGGACUCUUCCUGAACCACCACCUAAACCCACUCCAAAGAAGAGGGGUGUCUUAUUACUCAGUCCUGAAGAUAUGCAAGAGGCAAAGAAAUGUAUGAAGGAAAAAGGUCUUAAAGCUGAACAUGUUAAGAAUUUACCACCUAUUGAAGAAAUACAUGGACUUGACACACCACCACCACAGGUGGUAGAGGUAAAUUCUCUAUUAAAGUUUGAUGAAGGUGAUAUCCCUUAUAAUAAAAUCCCAGUCAAUGCUUAUAUUAGUUCGACAACUACAUUAGAAAGCAAGAUCACUUCAAUGCAAAUGUUAUGAAACAAUUGAAACAAAAUUCUGAUAUGAUUGCUCGCUUGAGUGACUUGUUACUUAGAAUCACUAAUGAUGUUAGACGUAUAAGAAAACAUGCCUCUAUGGUUCAAACUCAGUUAGAACAAGUUGCUAAAUCUCAAAGAGAAUUGCUUAGUGAAAUGAACAAUAAUAUGAAUGAUUAUGCUGUUAGAGUAGUAACUAGAGGAGGCAAAAUGACUCAGGAACCACUUUAUCCUGAGGGACACCCUAAAAGAAUUAAACAAGAUUCUCAAAGAAUUAACACUGAUGCACCUAGUCCUUCUAAAAAGAAGAGAAAAAUGAUAGGACUUUGCAUACCUCUAGUGAACCUGAGAUAGAAAACCCUUCUGAAGAUAACAAUGAUGUCUCUAUCUCUGAUGCCGAAACUCAACCUGGUAAUGAACAUUCACCUAGUGAUAAUGAAAAAUAUAAUGAUGUUCAUGAAGAUACUCAACCAUACAAUGAUAAAGAACCAGAUAAUGAUGUUGAAAUAGAACCUAUUGUGGAUCUUGAUAACCCACAACUUAAAAAUAAACGUUAUGGUAAGAGAGACUUUGUUGCUAGAAAACAUGGUAAAGAAAAAGAACCAUGGGUUCAAAAACCCAUGCCCUUUCCACCUAAACCAUCUAAGAAAAAAGAUGAUGAAGAAUUUGAACGCUUUGCUGAAACGCUUCAGCCAGUCUUUUGCGUACCCAUUUGACGGAUAUUUUAAAGAUGCCCCCUUAUGCUAAAUACAUGAAAGAAAUUUUCACUGAUAAAAGAAAAAUACUUAAAGCUGAAAUCUCCACCAUGCUUGCUAAUUAUUCUUUUAAGGAUGGAGUACCUAAAAAACUUGGAGACCCAGGAAUACCAACCAUACCUUGCUCUAUUAAAAGAACUUAUGUCAAAACUACUUUAUGUGAUUUAGGAGCUGGUGUCAGUGUUAUGCCUUUCUCUUUAUAUAGAAGACUUGAUUUGAAUAAACUCACACCUACUGAGAUAUCAUUGCAAAUGGCUGACAAAUCGACUGCCAUACAUAUCGGUAUUUGUGAGGAUGUGCCCGUUGUUGUUGCAAAUAUUACUAUCUUAACAGACUUUGUUAUACUUGAGAUGCCCGAGGACGAUAACAUGUUGAUUAUCCUGGGUAGACCCUUUUUGAACACUGCAAGGGCUAUUAUUGAUUGCAAUAAAAGAAAAGUUACUUUCAUAUCAAUGGUAAUGAGCAUACGGUGCACUCUCCGAAGAAACAAUUUCAAGUGAAUGGUAUUAAUGUUAUUGAAAAGUCUCUGAUAAUUACUAUUGGAAGUUUUCAACUCCCUUUACCCACUGCCAAAAAGAAAUAUGAAAUACUUAUUGUUGGGGAUAUGUAUAUCCCUGUUGAGGUAACUUAGUGUUUUACAAAAGUUCUUUGGGUUCAUGUUAAUCGAAAGUGAUUGUUAGUAAGACUUGAUCAACCUUAUUAAUGGAUUGUUUUUUAGAGGCAUGUGGUCGAUGAAUUUAGUAGGCACAACCUUCUGUCCCUACUUUUAUUUUUUUGUUUUUCUUAGUUAAAUAAAACAAAAUGCCACGUUUAUCCUGCUUUCUGACUUUCCCGUGCAAUAAAAAAGUGGUCAAAAAAUAAAAGUGCUCAGAAUGACCUGAAAUUUUAACACAAUUUUUUGAAUAUUUAAGAAUUUCUGGAACAAAUAACCACACGAGGGGGCGCACCUGGUGUCCAUAAGACACCAGGGCGCGCCAGCCACCCCAGGCGUGCCCUGGUGGGUGGUGGGUCACACGUGGCCCCCCUCACUUAUCUCUUCCGCCCAUGUCAUCUCCUACCUCCAGAAAAAAUCGCUCUCUCUCUCUCUCUCUCUCUCUCUCUCUCUCUCUCUCUCUCUCUCUCUCUCGUGUUCUUGCUCUCAAACCCGCGGAUUUCGAUCUCCUUGCUCGAAGCUCCAUUUCCGAAACUAUUUUAGGGGAUUGCUACUUGUUAGGUGACUCCUCCAUUGCUCCAAUUAGUUUUUGUUUUAGUGGUUUAAUUUUUGAGUAUUUAGCUACUCUUGGUGCUACUGUAGAAGGGCUUUCAUGUUCAAUUCUUAGAGUUCUAAGUAGUUUGAAUGCUUAAUAUAGCCUCUAGGCACCCAUAUGAGUAGUUGCUAUCAAUCUUGUGAAGUUUUGUUAACAAAUUUUUGUGACCCAGAAAUUUCAGAAAUUUGUACGUGAAUAAAAAUUACCUCUUUGGAAGGAGUUCUUCGAGGAGGAGGUCCUCAGAGGCAUCAUCGAGCGGUAGCUUGAUACGACAGUCCUAUGUUGAGCCAAGUGCAAGCUCGAUGCGGGAUGCCAAUACCAAAUCAUGCCUAUGGCCAUGUAACGAGUUCAUGGUAGCUGCGGGUAUCAACGAAGAAUUUGAGCAAUGUGUUCACAACGUCGAACUCGUUCCCUUCAUCGCAGAUGAGUGCAUCCAACAUCUCAACCUUACAGAGACAUUCACUAAGAAAUUUAAAUAUCAUCCUCAUGAGUCUGGAGUUUCAUUUAGCCUUUAUAAUAAUGCUUUUACCAUGCCUCUAGAAGCCUUCUGUGUUGCAUGUAAAAUUCCAUAUUGGGGCUCGCUAGAUGGACUACCAAAAUCUAAGUAUGAGUCAUUUUUGACUAGUCUUUGUUACGAUGAGGAUAGAGGAGUGACACAAGGUAGAAUAAAAAGUAUUAAUAUUCCAUCGAUUCAUUACUUUGCACUCUUUAAUGGCAAAUGUGUCGUGAGCAAGCAAGAUUGCAACACACUAUGUGCCCCUAACUUGAGCCUCAUACACACUGCUCUGACAGGAAUUAAAUGUUAUAAUCUUGGAGCGAUCGUUGCAUGGAGGUUGCAAUGCAACACUGAUAGUGGUCACUUUUAUGGUGGGAUUUAUACAUCCCCUGUAUCUAAGGAUCUGGAUGUGUCACCUUGGCCUAAUGAUCCCAUUCUGCCUACUCAGUACUUAGACUUUGAGGCCAUGAAGUGCCAUAAGUUCCUUAAGGGCACAACCACUAAUUAUACUUACAACCUGAUGUUCAAUAAAAUCCCAUUGUACCUGUUAGUUUGCCUGCACCUGCUCUCUUUGAUUAUCACGGUAAAGGAAGAUAUUAUGUUCUUGAGAGCGAGGCACACGCGUACAAUGCGGAGGUCGAGGCUGCUCGACAUGUUGAGGAGGCCGCACCAAGGGCCUCUGUGAGCUAUCACUCUGACUAUUACCAAGGCUACGGGUGGUGAUUACCAAGCUAGGCCAAAAUCCUAAACUUGGGGAGUACGUACUUCCACCAAUAUUAUAUUCAUGUUCACACAUUUCAUUCUAGUUGUCGGUGUUCACACUUUUUCAUUGUAUUAUCCAUGCUAGAUUAAUUUUCUUGCUUUCUUGUGUGUUUGAAAAACUUUGAGAAAAUCCAAAAAUAUUUCUUGCUUCUUUUCGUUUUUAUUUCUACUUUAAUUUAGUUGUAGUAUUAAAAGGAAACUCAAAAAUAUUUCUCAUUUCUUGUUUUGCUUGUUGGGAGCUUUCCCGUGUAAAUAGUUUUCUCAUUUUUGUUUUUCCUUCUUUAAUUUGCUUUCUUCAAGAAAAACUAAAAACUCCAAAAAAUACCUCAGUGUGUUUCUCUAAAAUUCUUUUCCUUUUCUUUGUUGAGUCAUACCAAGGGGAACACCACGAUGAAAAUGUUGAGUGGCUCUCAUAUGCAUUAUUGUUGAUCUAAUAAAGAGCCUAUAUUAUUUCUCCUCCGAAUAAAAUAUUGCAGAUUCCAGGUUAGUCCACAGCACACUUGCACUAUUAUUAUUUUCAUGUCAUUCGGUCGUGCAAGUGAAAGAAAUAAUGACGAUAUCUGAUGAAGUGAUUGUGGCAGGGAAAAGCGCGUAUGAACUCAACUUGUUUUUGUUUUUGUAAAUAUGUUUAACUUAGUAUCCAUGAUUCAACAUGUUAUGAUUAAAUACGUUUGCAAUGACAAUUAGAGAUUAUACUUGCUCAUGCCAUGCUUAAGUAGCUAGGAGUGGAUAAUGAUUUAUCUUGGGCAUCAACACACAUUAAAAUGAUUGUGAUGUAGUAUGAUGAUAUGGUAUUGAUACAUCUCCAACGUAUCUAUAAUUUUUGUUUGUUCCAUGCUGUUAUAUUAUCAUUCUUGGAUGUUUUACAAUCAUUUUAUAGCAACUUUAUAUCAUUUUUGGGACUAACCUAUUGACAUAGCAACUUUAUAUUAUCAUGCAUUUUUUUGCUUGUUUUUUACUUUGCAGAAAAUCAAUACCAAACAGAGUCCAAACACAGCAAAACUUUUUGGAGAAUUUUUCUGGGCCAGAAGACACCUGAUGGGCCAAAGAAGUACCAGAGGGGGCUCUAAGGGGAGCACAACCCACCAGGGCGCGCCCAGGUGGGUUGUGCCCACCUCGCUGGCCUCCCGCACAGCCUCUUCGCCCUAUAAAUCCCCAAAUAUUCCAGAAACACUAGGGGGGCGAUGAAACACAAUUCCAGCCGCCGCAAGUUCCAGAACCACGAGAUCCAAUCUAAACACCAUCACGAAGGGGUUCAUCAUCCUCAUUGGUGCCUCUCUGAUGAUGCGUGAGUAGUUCAUCAUAGACCUACGAGUCUGUAGGUAGUAGCUAGAUGGCUUCCUCUCUUUCUCUCUCUCUCUCUCUCUCUCUCUCUCUCUUGAUUCUAAAUAUAGUGGUCUCUUGGAGAUCUAUUUGAUGUAACUCUUUUUGCGGUGUGUUUGUUGGGGUCCGAUGAAUUUUGAGUUUAUGACCAGAUCUAUAUCCAUGAAUAUUAUUUGAGUCUUCUUUUGAUCUGUUAUAUGCAUGAUUAUUUAUAGCCUCGUAUUACUCUUCAAAUCUUUGGUUUAGUUAGGCCAACUAGAUCGAUUUUUCUUGCCAUGGGAAGAGGUGCUUUGUGAUGGGUUCGAUCAUGCGGUGUUCUUUCCCAGUGACAGAAGGGGCAGCAAGACACACAUGUAUCGUUGGUAUUAAGGAUAACAAGAUGGGGGCUAUUACACAUGAAUAGAUCUCGUCUACAUCAUGUCAUCAUUCUUAUUGCAUUACUUCGUUUCUCCAUGAACUUAAUACACUAGAUGCAUGCUGGAUAGCGGUCGAUGUGUGGAGUAAUAGUAGUAGAUGCAGGCAGGAGCCGGUCUACUAAUCUUGGAUGUGAUGCCUAUAUAUUGAUCAUUGCCUUGGAUAUCGUCAUAAUUAUUCAAUCUUCUAUCAAUUGCCCAAUAGUAAUUUGUUUACCCACGUGUGCUAUUUCUUGAGAGAAGCCACUAGUGAAAUCUAUGGCCCCCGGGUCUAUUCUUCAUCAUAUUUGCUUUCCGAUCUAUUAUUUGCCACUUUUAUUUUCAGAUUUAUUAUUCCAAAAACCCAAAAAUACCUUGCUGUACUUUUUUAUUACUUAUUUUAUUUCGCGUUUUAUCGAGAGCUAUUUAUCCAAUCUACCAGAAAUUAAUCUAUCUUUUUACCGUGGAGGGAUUGACACCCCAUCUAACACGUCAAACUGCAAGUAUUUGUUCUUUGUGUGCAGGUACCGUUUACAUAGUGUUGCUUGGUUCUCCUACUGGAUUGAUACCUUAGUUUCAUAACUGAGGGAAAUACCUACUGUAGUUGUGCUGCAUCAUCCCUUCUUCUUUGGGGAAAUACUGACGUAGUUCAAGCGACAUCAGGUAUCCUCCUCUGAAUGUUUCCUGUGGCUUGACUUGGCACAUGUUCACACAUGUAGUUGAAUCAAAACCAACAUAGCCUCCACGAUAUUUAUGUUCAUGGUGUUUAUAUCCCACUCAUGCUAGUAUUCAAUGUUGAUUAUUCAUAAUGCAUGUUAGUGAUUGUUUCCGCUCUCUAGCUGGUUGCUUCUAAACCCAUUUUGCUAGCCUUUGCCUGUACUAAGCUGGAAUACUGCUUGUGCGUCAAAAUCCUUAAACCAAAGUUAUUCCAAAUGAGUCCACUAUGUCUACCUAUAUGUGGUAUUACCCUGUCGUCCCAAAUAAGUUUGCAUGUGCCACCUCUGAAUUUUCAAAUGAACAUCUAUCUUGUGUGCCUGGACUGCUCAUGGAGCGGUAGGGGGUGGUCAGUAUCUUCCAUGCUAAGUGGGUUAUUCUCAUGAUGAGUGUUUAUUCACUCGCCCUUGCACGAGAGGGGCCGGUAAUAGGGAUGCCCAGUCCUGAAAUCAAAAAUUGCAAAUAAUUAAACAAAACUCCCCCGGGACUAUUGUUUGUAUGGAUGGCACCCAUGGAUUCGGCUAGCCAUGUCUUGUGUUUGUUGGUGGAGGGGGAGUAAACCUUUUCUUUUACCGCUUGGGAACCGCCGCUAAUGUGUUUAGCAUGGAAGAUAUUGAUAACUCUUGGUCGUGACGUUGACAGGAAGGGUGCACCUCCCAAAAUUACAUUUAUCUCUGAUAUAAACCAUUGAGCUCUGGCACCUAUGCAGAUCAUUGCUUCCCUCUACGAAGGGACUAUCUAUUUUACUAUUAUGUUAUUUUAUUUUUAUGUCGAGUCAUCACCUUCUCAAACAAGCACUAGACCUGAGAGCACUAUUGUCAUCCUCAUGCAUUGUGUAUAGUUAAUGUUGAAUGCAUCAUGAUUGGAUCUCUUCUACCAUGAAUUACAAUGUUUAGUCGCUGCUUGAACUUUGCAGGUGCUCUGCAUUUAUGUUUUGCGGUAUCAGAAAGGGCUAGCGAGAUACCACUGUUGUCAUAUUAUAUCAUGAUUGUUUUGACAAAGUGUUGGCAUUUGAGAUAUCUUAUUAUUGCUCGCUAGCUGGAUAUGCCAUUGAUAUGAGCUAAUAUAAUUUCUGAGAGUUAUUGCUUGCAUGGUUAGACACGAUCUUUGCUGAAAACCUGGGAGCUAUUUAAGAAUAUAUAUGUAAACAAGAACAAAAGAGUUCGUAAAAGUUUUGCUUUAUCACUUUCAGUUUGUCAACUAAAUGGCUUGAGGAAAAGCAAUCGGUUAAGCUUGGGGGAGUUGAUACGUCUCCAUCGUAUCUACUUUUCCUAGUGCUUUUGCUCUUGUUUUGGACUCUAAUUUGCAUGAUAUGAAUGAAACUAACCCAAACUGACGCUCUUUUCAUUAGAACUAUCAUGGUGUUGUUUUUGUGAAAAAAUAAAAGUUCUCGGAUUUGGACGAAACUUUUUUGAGAAUUAUUUUGCAAUAAAUAAAAAUACUGGAACCAAGACUCAUUGGAGGGGGGGCUAGCUGCCCACAAGACACCAGGGCGCGCCACCCCCUCUGACGCGCCCUGGUGGGUGGUGGGGCCCUCGAGGCCCCGUUGACCCUAAUUCUAAUGCUAUAAAAUCCUAUUUUUCCAGAAAAAAUAGGAAAGGAAGUUUUAUCACAUUUUAUGAUACAGAGCUGCCGCCACCUCAUGUUCUUCAUUGGGAGGCCAGAUCUGGAGCCCCUUCGGGGCUCCAGAGAGGGGAUCUUCGGUCUUCGUCAUCAUCAACCAUCCUCCAUCACCAAUUUCAUGAUGGUCACCGUCGGGAGUGACUAACUCCUUUGUAGGCUCGCUGGUCAGUGAGGAGUUGGAUGAGAUUCAUCGUGUAAUCGAGUUAGUUUUGUUAGGGCUUGAUCCCUAGUAUCCACUAUGUUCCGAGAUUGAUGUUGCUAUGACUUUGCUAUGCUUAAUGCUUGUCACAGGGGCUCGAAUGCCAUGAUUUUAGAUCUUAAUCAUUUAUAUUUUCACCAUUAUAUCUAUGUUAGAUUUGAUCUUGCAAGCCAUAUGCACCUAUUAUGUGUUAUGAUCCGUAAACCCCAAGGUGACAAUAACUGGGAUACUUUCUGGUGAUGACCGUAGUUUGAGGAGUUCAUGUAUUCACUAUGUGUUAAUGCUUUGUGUUGGUUCUCUUUUAAAAGGAGGCAUUAAUAUCUCUUAGUUUCCUUAUGGACCCCGCUGCCAUGGGAGGAUAGGACAAAAGAUGUCAUGGAAGUUCUUUUCCAUAAGCACGUAUGACUAUUUAUGGAAUACAUACCUACAUUAUAUUUAUGAACUGGAGCUAGUACUGUGUCGCCCUAGAUUAUGACUAUUAUAUGAUGAAUAUUAUCCCGAAUUCAUUGAUUCAAUGCCUAUGAGUUUUUCACAUAUUGUUCUUGCUGCGGUACUAUUGCUAUUACUACUGUUACAACUACUACAAAACUGUUACUGCUGUUACCGUGACCACUGCUAUCGUUACUACUACUAUCAAACUAUCAUAUUACUGUGCUACUGAUCACUUGCUGUAGAUACUUAAUUAUCCAGGUGUGGCUGAAUUGACAACUCAACUGCUAAUACUUACAAAUAUUCUUUGGCCCCCUUGUGUCGAAUCUAUAAAUUCGGGUUGAAUAAUCUACCUCAAGAACGAUUGCGAUCCCCUAUACUUGUGGGUUAUCAGGACGCUAUUCUGAAAACCAGUGACAGAAAGGAUUAGUAUAAUAGUGAAAAGCAAUUCCUUGGGGACGAAUGAGGUGCAGUCAUUAAACGUCCAAUUCUCUUGUCUGAAGAAAUCCUUAAUAACUGAGGUAACACCGCGCGACGUUAAGGGCGAGCGGUUGGACAACCAACUCUCGAUGCAGGUCAUGAUCGGUCGUGAUGUACUUUGGACACAUCCCCACUUCAUUGUGUUGUUAGCAUUUCAUAAUGUGUGUCUACCAAGACCAUGUUUAAUAUCAUAUGAGAUUCCAAGCACAAGGACAAGGUUGCGUGUCUAAGUCCUCAUACCCAUGACUAUUUCCAUAUCAUUGUAAUAAAUAAAGCAAUAAAUAAAAGGCACAAGGUUAGUAGGGACGAUGCUUGAGUAAUAAAGUGUUCUCAGGGGUUUUGAAGUCGUCACAAUUAGUUUGAUAUACGUACAUAUGCAAAUGCAUAAUUCUAGGUUUGGAUAACUAAGCCACCUUGCAUUAUUUCUAUCAGUAGGAGGGGCCUGGUACAUCAUACAUGCAGUAGCCAGGUAUCACACACGCCACCACCGUUCCUCCCAACAUGCAUGUCUUGAUAACCUACAAGUAUAGGGGAUCGCAACAGUUUUUGAGGGUAGAGUAUUCAACCCAAAUUUAUUGAUUCGACACAAGGGGAGCCAAAGAAUAUUUGCAAGUAUUAGUAGCUGAGUUUUCAAUUCAACCACACCUGGAGAUUAAUUAUCUGCAGCAAGUGAUCAUUAGCACAAUAAUAUGAUAGUUUUGAUAGUAGUAGCAACAGCAGUAGUGACGGUAACAGGGAUAUCAAUGAUUUUGUAGCAAGUGUAACAGUAAUAGUAGCAAUAGUAACUUAGCAAGAUCAAUAUGUAGAAAAUCGCAGGCAUUGGAUCGGUGAAUUCGUUGGAUGAUAUUCAUCAUAUAACAGUCAUAACCUAGGGCGAUACAAAACUAGCUCCAGUUCAUAAGUAUAAUGUAGGCAUGUGUUCCGUAAAUAGUCAUACGUGCUUAUGGAAAGAACUUGCAUGACAUCUUUUGUCCUACCCUCCCGUGGCAGCGAGGUCCAUAAGGAAACUAAGGGAUAUUAAGGCCUCCUUUUAAUAGAGAACCCGAACAAAGCAUUAACACAUAGUGAAUACAUGAACUCCUCAAACUACGGUCAUCAUGGGAUAGUAUCCCGAAUACUGUCACUCUGGGGUUUACGGAUCAUAACACAUAAUAGGUGACUAUAACUUGCAAGAUCGGAUCUAGAACAUAGAUAUAAUGGUGAUAACAUAAAUGGUUCAGAUCUGAAAUCAUGGCACCUGGGCCCAAGUUGACAAGUAUUAAGCAUGGCAAAGUCAUAGCAACAUCAAUCUCAGAACAUAAUGGAUACUAGGGAUCAAGCCGUAACAAAACUAACUCGAUUACAUGAUGAAUCUCAUCCAAUUCCUCACCGACCAGCGAGCCUACGAAGGAAUUACUCACUCCCAGUGGGGAGCAUCAUGGAAUUGGCGAUGGAGAAAGUUUGGUGAUGACGAAGAUCGAAGAUCCCCCUCUCCGGAGCCCCAAAGACUCCAGAUAAGGCCUCCCAUUGAAGAAUAGGAGGUGGCGGCAGCUCUGUCUCAUGAAACGCGCUAAUUCUGAAGGAUAUAUGCCCUAGAGGCAAUAAUAAAGUUGUUAUUUAUAUUUCCUUAUGUCAUGAUAAAUAUCUAUUAUUCAUGCUAGAAUUGUAUUAACCGGAAACUUGGUACAUGUGUGAAUACAUAGACAAAACAGAGUGUCCCUAGUAUGCCUCUACUCGACUAGCUUGUGGUUAAGUUGCCUGACCAUAGACAUGUGUUGUCAUUUGAUGAACGGGAUCACAUCAUUAGAGAAUGAUGUGAUGGACAAGACCCAUCCGUUAGCUUAGCAUUAUGAUCGUUUAGUUUAUUGCUAUUGCUUUCUUCAUGACUUAUACAUGUUCCUCUGACUAUGAGAUUAUGCAACUCCUGAAUACCGGAGGAACACCUUGUGUGCCAUCAAACGUCACAACGUAACUGGGUGAUUAUAAAUAUGCUCUACAAGUGUCUCCGAAGGUGUUUGUUGGGUUGGCAUAGAUCAAGAUUAGGAUUUGUCACUCCGUGUAUCGGAGAGGUAUCUCUAGGCCCUCUCGGUAAUGCACAUCACUAUAAGCCUUGCAAGCAAUGUGACUAAUGAGUUAGUUGCGGGAUGAUGCAUUACAGAAUGAGUAAAGAGACUUGCCAGUAACGAGAUUGAACUAAUUAUGAGGAUAUUGACGAUCGAAUCUCGGGCAAGUAAUAUACCGAUGACAAAGGGAAUAACGUAUGUUAUUAUGCGGUUUGACCGAUAAAGAUCUUCGAAGAAUAUGUAGGAGCCAAUAUGAGCAUCCAGGUUUCGCUAUUGGUUAUUGACCGGAGAUGUGUCUCGGUCAUGUCUACAUAGUUCUCGAACUCGUAGGGUCCGCACGCUUAACGUUCGAUGAUGAUUUGUAUUAUGAGUUAUGUGAUUUGAUGACCGAAGUUUGUUCGGAGUCCCGGAUGAGAUCACAGUCAUGACGAGGAGUCUAUAAAUGGUCGAGAGGUAAAGAUUCAUAUAUUGGAAGGCUAUAUUCAGACAUCGGAAAGGUUCCGAGUGAUUCGGGUAUUUUACAGAGUACCGGGGAGUUACGGGAAUUCAUCGGGAGAAGUAAUGGGCCUUAUUGGGCCAUACGGAAAAAGAGGAGGCAAACCAAGGGGAGGUGGUGCGCGCCCCCCAUGGGUCCGAAUUAGACUAGGGAAGGGGGCGGCGCCCCCUUGCCCUUUCCUACUCCCUCUCUCUUUCCCUCUUUCCUUCUCUCCUACUCCAAAAAGGAAAGGGAUUCCUACUAGGACUUGGAAGUCCUAGUAGGACUCCAUACUCUUGGCGCGCCCCCCUUGCCCUUUCCUACUCCCUCUCUCUUUCCCUCUUUCCUUCUCUCCUACUCCGAAAAGGAAAGGCAUUCCUACUAGGACUUGGAAGUCCUAGUAGGACUCCAUACUCUUGGCGCGCCCCUAGGGGGCGGCCUCUCUCCCUCCCUCCUUUAUAUACGUGGGCAGGGGACCGGCCUCUCUCCCUCCCUCCUUUAUAUAUGUGAGCAGGGGACACCCCAAAGGUACUACAAGAUUUGUCUUAGCCGUGUGCGGUGCCCCCCUCCACAGUUACACACCUCGGUUAUAUCAUCAUAGUGCUUAGGAGAAGCCCUGCGCCGGUAACUUCAUCAUCACCGCCGCCAUGCUGUCGUGCUGACGGAACUCUCCCUCGUCCUCAACUGGAUCAAGGGCUCGAGGAACGUCAUCAUGCUGAGCGUGUGCUAAACACAAAGGUGCCAUACGUUCGGUACUUGGAUCGGUUGGAUCAUGAAGACGUUCGACUACAUCAACCGCGUUACUAAACGCUUCCGCUUUCAGUCUACGAGGGUACGUGGACACACUCUCCCCGCUCGUUGCUAUGCUUCUCCUAGAUAGAUCUUGCGUGAUUGUAGGAAAUUUUUUGAAUUACUAUGUUCCCCAACAGUGGCAUUCGAGCCAAGUCUAUGCGUAGAUGUUAUAUGCACGAGUAGAACACAAUGAGUUGUGGGCGAUAAUAGUCAUAUUGGUUACCACCAACAUCUUACUUUGAUUCGGUGGUAUUGUUGGAUGAAGCAGCCCAGACCGACAUUACAUGAUCGCAUUCAUGAGACUAGUUCUACCGAUGUGCUUCGCACACAGGUGGCUAGCGGGUGUCUGUUUCUCCAACUUUAGUUGAAUCGAGUUUGAUUACGGCCGGUCCUUGUUGAAGGUUAAAACAACACACUUGACGAAAAAUCGUUGUGGUUUUGAUGCGUAUGUAAGAACGGUUCUUGCUCAAAGCCCAUAGCAGCCACGUAAAACUUGCAACAACAAAGUAGAGGACGUCUAACUUGUUUUUGCAGGGUAUGUUGUGAUGUGAUAUGGUCAAGACGUGAUGAGAUAUAAAUUGUUGUAUGAGAUGACAUGUUUUGUAAAAGUUAUCGCUGGCAGGAGCCUUAUGGUUGUCGCUUUAUUGUAUGAAAUGCAAUCGCCAUGUAAUUGCUUUACUUUAUCACUAAGCGGUAGCAAUAGUCGUAGAAGCAAUAGUUGGCAAGACGACAAUGAUGUUAUGAUGAAGAUCAACGUGUCAAGCCGGUGACGAUGGAGAUCAUGACGGUGCUUUGGAGAUGGAGAUCAAAGGCGCAAGAUGAUGAUGGCCAUAUCAUGUCACAUAUUUUGAUUGCAUGUGAUGUUUAUCCUUUAUGCAUCUUAUUUUGCUUAGUAUGACGGUAGCAUUAUAAGAUGAUCCCUCACUAAAUUUCAAGGUAUAAGUGUUCUCCCUGAGUAUGCACCGUUGCUAUAGUUCGUCGUGCCGAGACACCACGUGAUGAUCAGGUGUGAUAAUCUCUACAUUCACAUACAACGGGUGCAAUCCGGUUUUGCACACACAGAAUAUUCGGGUUAAACUUGACGAGCCUAGCAUAUGCAAAUAUGGCCUCCGAACACUAAGACCGAAAGGUCGAACAUGAAUCAUAUAGUAGAUAUGAUCAACAUAGUGAUGUUCACCAUUGAAAACUACUCCAUCUCACGUGAUGAUCGGACAUGGUUUAGUUGAUAUGGAUCACAUGAUCAUUUAGAUGACUAUAGGGAUGUCUAUCUAAGUGGGAGUUCUUAAGUAAUAUGAUUAAUUGAACUUUAAUUUUUCAUGAACUUAGUCCUGAUAGUAUUUGCAUAUCUAUGUUGUAGAUCAAUAGCUCGCGUAUAGCUCCCUAUUUUAUUUUUGAUAUGUUCCUAGAGAAAACUAAGUUGAAAGAUGAUAGUAGCAAUGAUGCGGACUGGGUCCAUGAUAUGAGGAUUAUCUCAUUGCUGCACAGAAGAAUUAUGUCCUUGAUGCACCACUAGGUGACAGACCGAUUGCAGGAGCAGAUGCAGAUGUUAUGAACGUUUGGCAUGCUCGAUAUGAUGACUACUUGAUGGUUUAGUGCACCAUGCUUUACGGCUUAGAAUUGGGGCUUCAAAGACGUUUUGAACACCACGGAGCAUAUGAGAUGUUCCAAGAGUUGAAAUAGUAUUUCAGACUCAUGCCUAUGUCGAGAGGUAUGAGACCUUUGACAAGUACUUUGCCUACAAGAUGGAGGAGAAUAGCUCAGCUAGUGAGCAUGUGCUUAGAAUGUCUGAGUACUACAAUCACUUGAAUCAAGUGGGAGUUAAUCUUCCAGAUAAGAUAGUGAUUACAAAGUUCUCUAGUCACUAUCACCAAGUUACUAGAACUUCAUGAUGAACUAUAGUACACAAGGGAUAGUGGAAACGAUUCCCAAGCUCUUCGCGAUGCUGAAAUCGGCGAAUGUAGAAAUCAAGAAAAAGCAUCAAGUGUUGAUGGUUGACAAGACCACUAGUUUCAAUUAAAAGGGCAAUGGAAAGAAAGGGAACUUCAAGAAGAAUGGCAAGCAAGUUGCCACUCCCAUGAAGAAGCCCAAAGCUAGACCUAAGCAUGAAACUAAGUGCUUCUACUGCAAAGGAAUGGUCACUAGAAGCGGAACUACCCCAAAUACUUGUCGGAUAAGAAGGAUGGCAAAGUGAACAAAAGUAUAUUUGAUAUACAUGUUAUUGAUGUGUACUUUACUAGUGUUCAUAGUAGUCCCUGGGUAUUUGAUACCGGUUCAGUUGCUAUGAUUAGUAACUCGAAACAGGAAUUACAAAAUGAACGGAGACUAGUUGAGGGCGAGGUGACGAUGUGUGUUGGAAAUGAUUCCAAGGUUGAUAAGAUCACCAUCACAUACUCCCUCUACCUUCGGGAUUAGUAUUGGAACUAAAUAAAUGUUAUUUAUUUGGUGUUUGCGUUGAGCAUGAAUAUGAUUGGGUCAUGUUUACUGCGAUACAAUUAUUCAUUUAAGUCAGAGAAUAAUUGUUGUUCUGUCUACAUGAAUAAAACCUUCUAUGGUCUUACAUCCAAUGUAAAUGGUUUACUGAAUCUCGAUCGCAAUGAUACACAUAAUAUUGAUGACAAAAGAUGCAAAGUUGAUAAUGAUAGUGCAACAUAUUUGUGGCACUGCCGUUUAGGUCAUAUUGGUGUAAAGCACAUGAAGAAACUCCAUGCAGAUGAACUUUUGGAAUCACUUGAUGCUUGUGAACCAUGCCUCAUAGGCAAGAUGACUAAGACUCCGUUCUCCGGAACAAUGGAGCGAGCAACUGACUUAUUGGAAAUAAUACGUACCGAUGUAUGUGGUCCGAUGAGUGUUGAGGCUCGCGGCAGGUAUCGUUAUUUUCUAACCUUCACAGAUGAUUUGAGUAGAUAUGGGUAUAUCUACUUAAUGAAACACAAGUCUGAAACAUUUGAAAAGUUCAAAGAAUUUCAGAGUGAAGUGGAAAAUCAUCGUAACUAGAAAAUAAAGUUUCUAGGAUCUAAUCGCGGAGGCGAAUAUUUGAGUUAUGAGUUUGGUCUUCAUUUAAAACAAUGUGAAUAGUUUCGCAACUCACGCCACCUGGAACACCACAGCGUAAUGGUGUGUCCGAACAUUGUAACUGUACUUUUUUGUAUAUUUUGCGAUCUAUGAUGUCUCUUACGAUUUACCAUUAUCGUUUUGGGGUUAUGCAUUAGAGACAGCUGCAUUCACGUUAAAUAGGGCACCAUCUUAAUCCGUUGAGACGACACCGUAUGAACUAUGGUUUGGCAAGAAACCUAAGUUGUCAUUUAUUAAAGUUUGGGGCUGCAGUGCUUAUGUGAAAAAGCUUCAACCUGAUAAGCUCGAACCCAAAUCGGAGAAAUGUGUCUUCAUAGGAUACCCAAAGGAGACUGUUGGGUACACCUUCUAUCACAUAUCCGAAGGCAAGAUAUUCGUUGCUAAGAAUGGAUCCUUUCUAGAGAAGGAGUUUCUCUCGAAAGAAGUGAGUGGGAGGAAAGUAGAACUUGAUGAGGUAAUUGUACCUUCUCCCAAAUUGGAAGUAGUUCAUCACAGAAAUCAGUUCCAAUGAUUCCUACACCAAUCAGUGAGGAAGCUAAUGAUGAUGAUCAUGAAACUUUAGAUCAAGUUACUACCGAACCUCGUAGGUCAACCAGAGUACGAUCCGCACCAGAGUGGUAUGGUAAUCCUGUUCUGGAAGUCGUGUUACUAGACCAUGAUGAACCUACGAACUAUGAGGAAGUGAUGAUGAGCCUAGAUUCCGCAAAAUGGCUUGAGCCAUGAAAUCUGAGAUAUGAUCCAUAUAUAAGAACAAAGUGUGGACUUUGGUGGACUUGCCCGAUGAUCGGCAAACCAUUGAGAAUAAAUGGAUCUUCAAGAGGAAGAUGGACGAUGAUGGUAGUGUUACUACCUACAAAGCUCGACUUGUCGUGAAAGGUUUUCGACAAGUUCAAGGUGUUGACUAUGAUGAGAUUUUCUCACUCGUAGCGAUGCUUAAGUCUGUCCGAAUCAUGUUAGCAAUUGCUGCAUUUUAUGAAACUGGCAAAUGGAUAACAAAACUGCAUUCCUUAAUGGAUUUAUUAAAUAAGAGUUUUAUAUGAUGCAACCAGAAGGUUUUGUUAAUCCUAAAGGUGCUAAAAAAUGUGGAAGCUCCAGCGAUCCAUCAAUGGAUUGGUGCAAGCAUCUCGGAGUUGUAAUAUACGCUUUGAUGAAUUGAUCAAAGCAUAUAGUUUUAUACAGACUUGCGGUGAAACCUGUAUUUACAAGAACGUGAGUGGGAGCACUACUGCCUUUCUGAUAAGUAUAUGUGAAUGACAUAUUGUUGAUCAGAAAUGAUGUAGAAUUUUCUGGAAAGCAUAAAGGAGUGUUUGAAAGGAGUUUUUCAAAGGAAGACCUCAGUGAAGCUUGUUACAUAUUGGGAAUCAAGAUCUAUAGAGAUAGAUCAAGACACUUGAUAAGAUUUUUCAAUGAGUACAUACCUUGACAAGAUUUUGAAGUAGUUCAAAAUGGAACAGUCAAAGGAGUUCUUGCCUGUAUUACAAGGUAUAAAGUUGAGUAAGACUCAAAACCCGACCACGGAAGAAAAUAGAAAGAGAAUGAAAGUCAUUCCCUAUGCCUCAGCCAUAGGUUCUAUAAAGUAUGCUAUGUUGUGUACCAGACCUGUUGUGUACCUUGCCAUGAGUUUGGCAAGCGGGUACGAUAGUGAUCCAGGAGUGGAUCACUCAACAGUGGUCAAAGUUAUCCUUAGAGGACUAAGGAAAUAUUUCUUGGUUAUGGAGGUGAUAAAUAGUUCAUCGUAAAGAGUUACGUCGAUGCAAGCUUUUACACCGAUCCAGACUCUGAGUCACAAUCUGGAUACAUAUUGUAAGUGGGAGCAAUUAGCUAGAGUAGCUCCAUGCAGAGCAUUGUAGACAUAGAAAAUUUGCAAAAUACAUACGACUCUGAAUAUGACAGACCCGUUGACUAAACUUCUCUCACAAGCAAAACAUAAUCACACCUUAGUACUCUUUGGGUGUUAAUCACAUAGCGAUGUGAACUAGAUUAUUGACUCUAGUAAACCCUUUUGGUGUUUGUCAUGGAAAGGUCACGACAGAUGUCCUAGCAAAAGGACUUAGUCGUGGAGCCGUCGCAACUAGGAUGCUUAAAGGGGUUAAAUGGGAUAAAGGACACGGGAGUUUAUACUGGUUCGGCCCCUUGCUAUGAAGGUAAAGGCCUAAUCCAGUUUGAGGUGGUAUUGCUUAUGUCUCGAUUACCAGGGAGCGAAUCCGCUUGACCUAGCUUUCGAUCUGUUGUCUCUUGUCCUGAAUCACCGUCGGGUCGUCCCUUUAUAUACACAGGUCGACGCCCAUCGGCCCAUAGAGUCCCGGCCAGCUCAUAAACAGUGUCCAUCUCGGUGACUAUCUAUUCAUGCCUUACAACACAAGUCAUACAUAUAUGGCCGUUUACCCUUACAGACCUUAAGUUGCCUUUGGGCCUUGGGCCCUUAACUAAACCUCCAUCUUCAAAUAUCUUCGUGGGCUUCAUAUGAUGAAUCGCCAUAGGUAUAACCCGGCCCCUCCUGGGUGGGUCAUACCUAAUAGUUAUAUCCCCAACAUUAGGCCCCAGAUUGAUUUGAACUAGUUCAUGUCAAUCUUCAAUACUUUAGAAAAAAUCUUCUCUUCUUCAUCUGUGCGAGAAUUUAUAACCCACCAUGAUGUAAUCUUCUAGAUUUGUGAUAACCCGCCAUGACAUCACCUACCAUUAAUUCCUACAUAUCUCAUCGAAUCUUUAUCUUAAUAACCGUUCCCAAAAUCGAGGCGUCUGGGUAGCUGGAUAACCAUGUUUCGUCCUCCUCAUUUUUUGUGCCCACUUAUUACACUUUCCUUAUAAAUAGCCGCGACUGGUCUUCUUCUCGUUCUCCCCCUUUUCCAUCGUCUUCUUCCUCUCGCGACCCUCUACCGCUCGAGCUCUGCCGCCACCACCAAGCACCUCGUCCUCCUCAACCUUGGCCGCUGCAUCAACCUGUGUUGGAUCAGAGUACACCGGCGCUCCACCGCAGUCGAGUCUGCACCUGCAAGUGCUUCUCCUCCAGCGCGUCAGAUUGCAUUAGGGUUCCGACUGUUCGUCGUGUUCUUCGUAGUUUCUUCAUAGCUCUUCCACCGUAGCACCUUUUGAUCUAGAAACGGUAUAGAACUUAUGUGGUAGUUGUUUUGUCUUCGCCUUUAAUACUAGCGGACCCCCUUUCCUUGGAAAGAGAUCUCAUUAGAGCUUAUGAACUCCCCUGUACUGCUUUUAGGUCUUUAAUUAUUUCCUUUUUUUGAAUAGCCGCUGAUCUGGAAUAUUACUUGCAAUCUGUGAAACCUGUUUGUACUGUACUUAGCAAAAAACUACACCUUGAUAGAUCCACCUAGCCAUGGCGGCUCAUACUACUAGCUUUAAUUGCAAUGCUCAAUAGAUAACAUCAAAUUGCUCAUGGCAGCUUAGAUAACCUGACGUAAUUAGUCAUAUACCAUUAGGCCCCUUUGUAAGCCGCCAUUCUGAAUAUGUGCUGUAAUACAUUUUUCCUCCGGCUUAAAUUUUGAACCGGCAAAUUUGUUCUUUUUCCUUUUAGGCUUCUUUCUUCACAAUGCCGCCCAAAACAACCACUUCCUGUAAUUGGGUUCGCUCCAUCAUCACGGAGAGUACACUUAAAGACUUUGUGAAAACCGGUUAUCUGCCAAAAAAGGAUAUCAUGUCUUACCGCGCCCCUAAACCGACAGAAGAGAAACCUUAGCCCAAAGAAGGGGAAGUUAUUGUCUUCACCGACCACAUGAACCGGGGCUUUUCGCCGCCCGGCUCUAAGUUCUUCAGGGACGUUCUACACUUUUUCGACCUCCAUCCUCAAGACAUCGGACCCAACUCCGUGUCUAACAUAUGCAACUUUCAAGUGUUCUGUGAGGUGUACCUCGAAGAAGAGCCCAACUUGGAACUUUUCAGAGAAUAUUUUUACUUGAACCGCCAGAACGAAUACUCCAACGGCCCUAGUUUGGAACUUGGCGGGGUCUCAAUCCAACGACGGAGAGAUGCCAUUUUUCCUUAUGCGCAGCUGCCAAGUCAUCACAAGGACUGGAACCAGACAUGGUUCUACUGCAAAGAUACUUGUCCGGCUGACGAGAACCCUCUGCCCAGCUUUCGCGCCCUGCGUCUCGAGUCCAAUCAUCCUCUCCCCAACAAGUUGACAGCUGCUGACCGCAAGAAGCUCGCCCCUACCAUUGCCAAAGUCAAGGCUCAGUUAGGGAACGGCUUAAAUGGCAUUGACUUGGUCCGGUGCUGGGUUGCAUGGCGGAUUAUCCCCUUGAGCCGCCACUCCAGUUUAAUGUGCACUUACACCGGUAGCACAAAGGAUCCACUGUGCCACAGCUCCGAUGAGUUAACUGAUGACCUUAUCAAUGAGAUGACAAAGUCCCUUCUGAAUGAGAGCCUAGCUGAUUGUAGCAAGGUGGGCCUAAGCCCUUUCUGCAAGUCUAACCCCGACACCAAAAGUAAGCUGCCAAACUGGCUAUUUUACUUUCACCCUUAAUACUUUGUAUUAACUCAACCUUGAUGAUUUUCACAGGUUGAUGAUGACUUUUGGAAUAAAGAAUAUGAUCAUGAAGCUGCAAAGAGAGCCAGGAAGGCCAAGAAAGCUUCCAGGAGAGCCACCAAGAAGAGAGGAAUAAACCCGGUGCUUCUGAUUUUUACUUCAAUUGGAUGACACCUCUGAGUCGGAGGUAGCCCUUGAUUCUCUUGGCUCUUUUUUCAACCAUCUUAUUGACACUGACUAUCAUCAGGAUGACAUGGGAACGAGUCAGGGAGUGGAAGAAGAGGUAACUAUUAUUUCCUCUGACUCCGAGCCUUUGCCAAGACAAAAAAUCCGAAGAGUGACCCGGAAAGUAAGAUUUUCACACCCCUUAGCUCAUCUGGAUCCUCACUUUAUUUUGAAGCAACAACAACACGAGAGCCGGUGAUAGACUCGGACGAGCAAGGAUGUUGAACUCUCCUCCGGCCUACCGAACAUGCCGAGCAAGCGUCGAAAUGAGGUCACCCCCGACUUAAACUCUUUUUAUCCUUUGGCGGGUCUCACUCGCCAGCCACUCAAUUCUUCCGACUCAAAUUAUCAGGAAACAUCUCAUUCCUCUUCCGGCGAUUCAAUCCAAUCCAAUAUGUCAUCUUUCAAGACCGCUCCCGGGUAAUGGCAAAUUACUUAUCAUUUACUCAUUUGAAUCCUUUGAUACUUAUACUGACCUUUGUGACUCAUGUAGUGGAAAAGCAAAGCCCAGCAAGAAGGCAAAGAAGAACAAAACAGCCAAAGAGCCGAAAGUCCAUGAGCCAGAGCUCCAAACCGCAGCUCCUGAGGUCUCUGUUCCUGAACCGUCUGAGCCGGCUCAUGAUAUUCCAACAAUGACUGUUGACCCGCCUGUUGAUCAAGCCGCCGAUGACUCUUUAAAUCCUGAAGCUUCAAGCCCUGUCAAGACAGCCAAUACACAAGAUGACGAUGUAGAGAUCACCAAGACCGGCUUUACUGAACCGGGGAGACCUACUGUGCUGGCCAAACAUUCUGCCAAGGAAGAACAUGUUGAGCCGUGCAAAGUGUGAUUUGAUGUCACCAACUAUGCUCAACUGGGCAUUGGUGAAAUAUAUUCUGGCUUUCUCAGCCAAGUACACAGCAGCAGUGACCUUGAAGUGGACAUGGUGAAGCAGAUGCACCACAAAUUUGAGGUAUGGUCUCUUCCACUCUUAAGUCAUGCAUAUCCUGCCAGCCCCCAAGUUUACUGCUUAUUUUGAAUAUGUUGUAGACUUGAUCACCAUGAACAUGGAAAAUAACCUAUGAAACAAUCCUUUCAAAUCCGGCUUAAAGUUGUGUAGUUCUCAUGAGCCGGCUAUGGACGGUUGUAGCACCAAGGUGUCAUCGUGAAAUUGCAAUAAGACAAGCAAUAUGCAUUAGCCCCCAACUGCCAAGUACUCUUGCUUGCAAAGUACUUGGGACUUAUUCACUUAAGCCGCCACGUAAAUAGAACUUUCGGUAGACAUUAGCCCCUAAGUGCCUAGUGUUAUUGCGUGCAAAAGGCUUGGGACUUGAUAUUUUGGACUAACGUUUGAAUUAUGAUGUUGAUCCGGUUUAUGAACAGACCACCACUGAUGAACUUCAAACAGAGAUGUCUGAGUUGAAGACCCGUUUGGAACUACAAGAGGCUCAGACCCAGAAAGCAAACUCAAAGUUUGAAUUUACUGUGGCUGAAUCAGAAAAAGUGAAGGCCAACUUUAAAGUUGAGAAGGACGCCUGGGCUAAAGAGAAAAUUGCCUUGACCCAAUAGGCUGAGAAGGCGGAGGCGGCUCUCCAGGAAGCAAGCACUAAACUGACCGGCUUAAAACGCUAGGUGUCUCAGAUGGUGUCUGCUAUCUUUGGUAAGUCGCCUGAUGAUUGCCAAAUUUUGAAUAUCCUCCUUGACGAUAUUAUCUGCUUUUAACCCAUCCAAUGAUCACUUUGCAGGCCCUCGAAGCACCAAUCUGAACCAAGACAUGUUGGUGAAGCUGAAGGCAGUUUACACAUUGGUGGAGCAGCUUUACACUGGUGCUCAACGCGCAUUGGCCACAAUUGCUCCAUCCAAUGAAUCCCCCAUACUCUUGGUUGACGUGCUAAGGAAGCUUUCUAUGCUGCCACAAUGGUUUAAUGAAAUGAAGCGAUCAUCUGCGAGAGCCGGAGCCGUGACUGCCUUAAGCCGGGCCAAAGCAUGGCUACCGGAAUUAGACCCGGUCGACAACUCUAUCGGGUAUCCAAGCCUCAAGGAAGACGGCACUCCGUUUGAACAGAAGGACUUUGCUGCUUGCGUGAAGGAGAUACGUCCUCUGGCUAGCCUGAUUGCCAAUGAGACAGACCUCACCAAGUAUCAUCCGGCUUAUGACAUGGGAAAUCAGAAGAUGCCAACACCGUCUUAUAAAGUGACAUGCCUGAUCCCCCCAAUCCGUAAGCACACCUUUGCCCCUGAAGUUGACUCGUCCAAGCUAACUGUGAUGAAGCUGAGUUCCAAGCUUUGAGUGGCAUUGACUGGUCGUCAUCAACCUUUCAGGACGUAGAACAGGACAAAGAAGCGGAGAGGGUUGAGCCGGAAGCAUCAGGCCAGCAAGAAGAUUGAUCCGCUGGGCGGUUCAUAUUUAUGGCCUUCUGAAAGACAGUUAAGUAUUUGGACUCUGGGAGUCAUGUAAUAGGGUAGCAACAGCUUUGCUCUACCAUGCCAUCAUGCACGUUUUUGUGUUAUGCUCCAUAUUGUUAAACUGCCACCUGAGAGUUAUGAUUUUUGAGUGGUGUAGAAAAAUUUCAACUUUAUCCUGCACACAAGUAAAUCAAAAGAGAUCCCUUGGCGGUUUAUUGCAGGGCGGGUCAUAAUAUCUCGUAUGCACCCACUGAUGCUUAAACAGUUAUGGAUAAGGUUUGUUGAACCUUAAUUGAAAAUAAUAAUGAUAUCAUACCUGUGAUAUGUAAUUGCACUGCCGGUUUACGAUACAUGUGCAGUACGGGUGAGCACCCAAAGCUUUUUUAGAAGCCAAUAAGUCCAAGUGCUGGACAACAUCAUGUAUGGGCGGCUUGUCGCCUUUGUGUUAAGUCGGGUAAUGAAAACCACGGUAAGCUUCAAAUAUGAGCUUAUGAAAGUGAAGGAUGUAUGGCCAAAAUUACUUUUAAAUCAGCAGGCAAGAUAUUAUCAAGAAGAACCAGAAAAAACUUCAAGAAAUCAAGCCAAAUGUCAAAAAGCGAGGCUAUGGUUCGAAUACGACCAGGAAGCCGGACCAAAAGGGUUAGUAGCUAUGAUUCUAAGACGAUUAGAAAGCCCCCUAAUGGUUUUUGGCAUUGCAUCGAUCAAAGGGGUACCGACAGCUAUGAUUCGAAUACGAUCAGGAAGCCCCCCAGUGACCUUGAAGUGUUUGGCAUUGUGUCGAUCAAGAGGGUACCGACAACUAUGUUCUCUUUGGUGAAUACACCUAUGUUUGAACAGGAAGCCCCCAAAUGACCUUGAAGUGUUGUCAUUGCGCCGAUCAAGAGGGUACCGAUAGUUAUGUUCUCUUUGGUGAAUACACCUAUGUUUGAACAGGAAGCCCACAAAUGACCUUGAAGCUUUUAACGACUCUGAUUCGAAUACGAUCAGUAAGCCGGACCAAAAGGGGUUAAGCUAUGAUUGAAUACGAUCUAGACCCCAAAUGAUCUAAGUGUUUACGGCUAUGGUUCGAAUAUGACCAGGAAGCCGGCCAAAAGGGGUUAAUAGCAUGAUUUGUAUACGACCCGCCCCCAAUUGGUCUUUGAAAUUAUGAUGACGAAGAGGCAUGAUUGUUGAAGAUGAAACAACAGAGACCCUGCUUUAUUAUAAUCAUCAUAAUAUAUACAUCGUCAAAAAUAUGUACAUCAUAAGAGUCGAUGGCUCAAGUGUAGUAAGGCCGAAGAUGAGCAAUAUUCCACGUCCGGCGGGUCUCCUCCUCCGACUUACUUGAGUCCUUGUGCUCUCGAAUAUCGAUAAGGUAGUAUGACCCAUUGUUCAAGUUCUUGCUGACCACAAAGGGCCCUUCCCAAGGUAGGGAUACCUUGUGCAUGUCAGUCUAAUCCUGGAUGAGCCGGAGCACCAAAUCACCUUCUUGAAAGGUUCUAGACUUAACCCGACGGCUGUGGUAACGGCGCAGAUCUUGUUGGUAAAUCACCGAGCGGGCUGCCGCAAGGUCACGCUUCUCAUCCAAUAGGUCAAGUGCAUCCUGAUGUGCUUGUUCAUUAUCAGCUUCAAUGUAGGCCGCCACACGGGGCGACUCAUGGCGGAUGUCACUAGGAAGAACCGCCUCUACUCCAUAAACCAUGAAGAAAGGCGUGUAACCCAUAGACCUGUUGGGGGUAGUAUUGAUACUCCAUAUCACAGAGGGUAACUCCUCCAACCGACAACCUAGUGUCUGUUGCAAAGGAACCAUAAGCCGGGGCUUGAUGCCUCUCAAAAUUUCUUGAUUGGCUCUUUCAGCUUGACCAUUGGAUUAGGGGUGAGCUACUGAUGACACAUCAAGGCGAAUAUGCUCACGUUGACAAAACUAUUUCACAACACCUUUGGACAAAUUAGUGCCAUUAUCAGUUAUGAUACUAUGGGGAAAGCCAAAGCGAAAUCACCUUUUUAACGAAUUGAACCGCUGUUGUCGCAUCACACUUACUGAUCGGCUCUGCUUCAACCCAUUUUGUAAAUUUGUCAACCGCCCCCAAGAGGUGGGUCUUUUUAUCCUUGGACCUUUUAAAAGGCCCAACCAUAUCAAGCCCCCAGACUGCAAACGGCCAAGUAAUUGGAAUCAUCCUCAAUUCUUGAGCCGGCACAUGAGCUCGUCAUGAAAAUUUCUGGCAGCCAUCACAUUUACUGACCAGAUCCUCUGCAUCAGCGUGAGCUGUCAGCCAACAAAAUCCAUGACGAAAAGCUUUGGCCACAAGGGACUUUGAACCAGCAUGAUGACCACAAUCUCCUUCAUGAAUCUCAUGGCCCUCCUCGGGAGAGACGCAACACUGAAACGCCCCAGUGACACUGCGAUGGUGUAACUCGCCAUUGGCAAUUGUCAUUGACUUGGACCGUCGGGUUAUCUGCGAGGCCAAAGUUUCAUCCUCAGGUAAUUCGCCCCGGGUCAUGUAAGCCAAAUAUGGUACUGUCCAAUCUGUGAUGGUGUGGAGAGCCGCCACCAAUUGUGCCUCCGGGUUAAGAACAGCCAGGUCUUCCUCUGUAGGCAACUUGACAGAAGGGUUAUGCAGAAUAUCCAAGAAAGUGUUAGUGUUGGAAAUAUGCCCUAGAGGCAAUAAUAAAAGGAUUAUUAUUAUAUUUCCUUGUUCAUGAUAAUUGUCUUUUAUUCAUGCUAUAAUUGUAUUAUCCGGAAAUCGUAAUACAUGUGUGAAUACAUAGACCACAACAUGUCCCUAGUGAGCCUCUAGUUGACUAGCUCGUUAAUCAACAGAUAGUCAUGGUUUCCUGACUAUGGACAUUGGAUGUCAUUGAUAACGAGAUCACAUCAUUAGGAGAAUGAUGUGAUGGACAAGACCCAAUCCUAAGCAUAGCACAAGAUCGUGUAGUUCGUUUGCUGGAGCUUUUCCAAUGUCAAGUAUCUUUUCCUUAGACCAUGAGAUCGUGUAACUCUCGGAUACCGUAGGAGUGCUUUGGAUGUACCAAACGUCACAACGUAACUGGGUGACUAUAAAGGUAUACUACGGGUAUCUCCGAAAGUGUCUAAUGGGUUGACACGGACCGAGACUUGGAUUAGUCACUCCGUAUGACAGAGAGGUAUCUCUGGGCCCACUCGGUAAUGCAUCAUCAUAACGAGCUCAAAGUGACCAAGUGUCUGGUCACGGGAUCAUGCAUUGCGGUACGAGUAAAGUGACUUGCCGGUAACGAGAUUGAACGAGGUAUUGGGAUACCGACGAUCGAAUCUCGGGCAAGUAACAUACCGAUUGACAAAGGGAAUUGUAUACGGGGUUGCUUGAAUCCUCGACAUCGUGGUUCAUCCGAUGAGACCAUCGAGGAGCAUGUGGGAGCCAACAUGGGUAUCCAGAUCCCGUUGUUGGUUAUUGACCGGAGAGCCGUCUCGGUCAUGUCUACGUGUCUUCCGAACCCGUAGGGUCUACACACUUAAGGUUCGGUGACGCUAGGGUUGUAGAGAUAUAAGUAUGCAGCAAACCGAAAGUUGUUCGGAGUCCUGGAUGAGAUCCCGGACGUCAUGAGGAGUUCCGGAAUGGUCCGGAGGUAAAGAAUUAUAUAUGGGAAGUCGGGUUUCGGCCAUCGGGAAAGUUUCGGGAGUCACCGGUAUUGUACCGGGACCACCGGAAGGGUCCCAGGGGUCCACCGGGUGGGGCCACCUAUCCCAGAGGGCCCCAUGGGCUGAAGUGGGAGGGGAACCAGCCCCUGGUGGGCUGGUGCGCCCCCCACCCCCCUUGCCCCCCCCCCUGCGCCUAGGGUUGGGAACCCUAGGGAAGGGGGCGCCUCCACUUGCCUUGGGGGGCAAGGCACCCCCCUUGGCCGCCGACCCCUAGGAGAUCCCAUCUCCUAGGGUCGGCGCCCCCCUGGGGACCCUAUAUAGAGGGGGGCAGGGAGGGCAGCGGCACCCUUGCACUUGGCGCCUCCCUUCCCCCUUGCUACACCUCUCCCUCCCGCGGACGCUUGGCGAAGCCCUGCCGGGAUCCCUGCUGCAUCCACCACCAUGCCGUCGUGCUGCUGGAUCUUCAUCAACCUCUCCUCCCCUCUUACUGGAUCAACAAGGAGGAGACGUCACGCUGACCGUACGUGUGUUGAACGCGGAGGUGCCGUCCGUUCGGCGCUAGGAUCUCCGGUGAUUUGGAUCACGACGAGUACGACUCCCUAAACCCCGUUCUCUUGAAUGCUUCCGCUCGCGAUCUACAAGGGUAUGUAGAUGCACUCCCCUCUCUCGUUGCUAUAUGAACUCAUAGAUUGAUCUUGGUGAACGUAGGAAAUUUUUUAUUUUAUGCAACGUUCCCCAACAGUGGCAUCAUGAGCUAGGUCUAUGCGUAGUUCUCUUUGCACGAGUAGAACACAAAUCUGUUGUGGGUGUAGAUGUUGUCAACUUUAUUGCCACUACUAGUCUUAUUUUGCUUCAGCGGUAUUGUGGGAUGAAGAGGCCCGGACCGACCUUACAUGUACGCUUACGUGAGACAGGUUCCACCGACUAACAUGCACUAGUUUCAUAAGGUGGCUAGCGGGUGUCUGUCUCUCCCACUUUAGUUGGAGCGGAUUCGAUGAAAAGGGUCCUUAUGAAGGGUAAAUAGAAGUUGACAAAUCACGUUGUGGCUUUUUCGUAGGUAAGAAAACGUUCUUGCUAGAACCCUAUUGCAGCCACGUAAAAGAUGCAACAACAAUUAGAGGACAUCUAACUUGUUUUUGCAGCAAUUGCUUUGUGAUGUGAUAUGGCCAAAACUUGUGAUGAAUGAUGAACGAUAUAUUGUGAUGUAUGAGAUCAUGUUCUUGUAAUAGGAAUCACGACUUGCAUGUCAUGAGUAUGACAACCGGCAGGAGCCAUAGGAGUUGUCUUAAUUAUUGUAUGACCUGCGUGUCAAUGAUUUAACGCCAUGUAAUUACUUUACUUUAUUGCUAAACCGUUAGCUAUAGUAGUAGAAGUAAUAGUUGGCGAGCAACUUCAUGGAGACAAGAUGAUGGAGAUCAUGAUGAUGGAGAUCAUGGUGUCAUGCCGGUGACGAAGAUGAUAAUGGAGCCCCGAAGAUGGAGGUCAAAGGAGCUAUAUGAUAUUGGCCAUAUCAUGUCACUACUAUUUGAUUGCAUGUGAUGUUUAUCAUGUUUUUGCAUCUUGUUUACUUAGAACGACGGUAGUAAAUAAGAUGAUCCCUCAUAAUAAUUUCAAGAAAGUGUUUCCCCUAACUGUGCGCCGUUGCGACAGUUCGUUGUUUCGAAGCACCACGUGAUGAUCGGGUGUGAUAGAUUCUAACGUUCACAUACAACGGGUGUAAGACAGAUUUACACAUGCAAAACACUUAGGUUAACUUGACGAGCCUAGCAUGUACAGACAUGGCCUCGGAACACAAGAGACCGAAAGGUCAAACAUGAGUCAUAUGGAAGAUACGAUCAACAUGGAGAUGUUCACCGAUGAUGACUGGUCCGUCUCACGUGAUGAUCGGACACGACCUAGUCGACUCGGAUCAUGUAACACUUAGAUGACUAGAGGGAUGUCUAAUCUGAGUGGGAGUUCAUUAAAUAAUUUGAUUAGAUGAACUUAAUUAUCAUGAACUUAGUCUAAAAUCUUUGGAAAAAUGUCUUGUAGAUCAAAUGGCCAACGCUCAUGUCAACAUGAACUUCAACGCGUUCCUAGAGAAAACCAAGCUGAAAGAUGAUGGCAGCAACUAUACGAACUGGGUCCGGAACCUGAGGAUCAUCCUCAUAGCUGUCAAGAAAGCAUAUGUCCUUGAAGCACCGUUAGGUGACCCACCUGCUCUCCCAGCACUGCAAGAUGAUUUGAACGUUUGGCAGACACGUGCUGAUGAUUACUCCCUCGUUCAGUGCGGCAUGCUUUACAUCUUAGAACCGGGGCUCCAAAAGCGUUUUGAGCAACACAGAGCAUAUGAGAUGUUUGAGGAGCUGGAAAUGGUUUUCCAAGCUCACGCCCGGGUCGAGAGAUAUGAAGUCUCCGACAAGUUUUAUAGUUUUAAGAUGGAGGAAAAUAGUUCUGUCAGUGAGCACAUACUCAAAAUGUCUGGGUUGCACAACCGGCUGUCCCAGCUGGACAUUAACCUCCCGGACGAGGCGUUCAUUGACAGAAUCCUUCAGUUGCUCCCACCGAGCUACAAGAGCUUUGUGAUGAACUACAAUAUGCAGGGGAUGGUGAUGUUGGGUAACAUAGCAGAAAUUCAAAAUUUUCCUACGCGUCACCAAGAUCUAUCUAUUGAGAAACCAGCUACGAGUAGAAGGAGAGUGCAUCUACAUACCCUUGUAGAUCGCUAAGAGGAAGCGUUCAAGUGAACGGGGUUGAUGGAGUCGUACUCGUCGUGAUUCAAAUCACCGAUGAUCAAGUGCCGAACGGACGGCACCUCCGCGUUCAACACACGUACAGCCCGGUGACGUCUCCCACGCCUUGAUCCAGCAAGGAGAGAGGGAGAGGUUGAGGAAGACUCCAUCCAACAGCAGCAUAACGGCGUGGUGGUGAUGGAGGAGCGUGGCAAUCCAGCAGGGCUUCGCCAAGCACCAUGGGAGAGGAGGAGGAGGAGAGGCAGGGCUGCACCAACGAGAGAUCAAAUCGCGUGUUAUGGGCAGCCCUAUGCCUCACUAUUUAUAGGGGGAGAGGGGGCUGCGCCCCCUUCUAGGGUUUCCCACCCCCAAGGGGUGCGGCCAGCCCUAGAUGGCAAAGGGGGCGGCGGCCAGGAGGGGGAGAGAGGGGAGGCGCCCACUAGGUGGGCCUUAAGGCCCAUCUGGACUAGGGUUUGCCCCCUCCCACUCUCCCUUGCGCCUUGGCCCCUUGUAGGGGGCGCACCAGCCCACCUAGGGGCUGGUCCCCUCCCACACAUGGCCCACGCAGCCUUCUGGGGCAGCUGGCCCCACUUGGUGGACCCCCGGGACCCUCCCGGUGGUCCCGGUACAAUACCGAUAUCGCCCGAAACUUUUCCGGUGACCAAAACAGGACUUCCCAUAUAUAAAUCUUUACCUCCGGACCAUUCCGGAACUCCUCGUGACGUCCGGGAUCUCAUCUGGGACUCCGAACAACAUUCGGUAACCACAUACAAGCUUCCUUUAUAACCCUAGCGUCAUCGAACCUUAAGUGUGUAGACCCUACGGGUUCGGGAGACAUGCAGACAUGACCGAGAUGUUCUCCGGUCAAUAACCAACAGCGGGAUCUGGAUACCCAUGUUGGCUCCCACAUGUUCCACGAUGAUCUCAUCGGAUGAACCACGAUGUCAAGGACUUAAUCAAUCCCGUAUUCAAUUCCCUUUGUCUAGCGGUAUUUUACUUGCCCGAGAUUCGAUCGUCGGUAUACCGAUACCUUGUUCAAUCUCGUUACCGGCAAGUCUCUUUACUCGUUCCGUAACACAUCAUCCCGUGAUCAACCCCUUGGUCACAUUGUGCACAUUAUGAUGAUGUCCUACCGAGUGGGCCCAGAGAUACCUCUCCGCUUACACGGAGUGACAAAUCCCAGUCUCGAUCUGCAUAAAACAAUAGAUACUUUCGGAGAUACCUGUAGUGCACCUUUAUAGUCACCCAGUUACGUUGUGACGUUUGAUACACCCAAAGCACUCCUACGGUAUCCAGGAGUUACACGCUCUCAUGGUCAAAGGAAGAGAUACUUGACAUUGGCAAAGCUCUAGCAAACGAACUACACGAUCUUUGUGCUAUGCUUAGGAUUGGGUCUUGUCCAUCACAUCAUUCUCCUAAUGAUGUGAUCCCGUUAUCAACGACAUCCAAUGUCCAUAGCCAGGAAACCAUGACUAUCUGUUGAUCACAACGAGCUAGUCAACUAGAGGCUCACUAGGGACAUAUUGUGGUCUAUGUAUUCACACGUGUAUUACGAUUUCCGGAUAAUACAAUUAUAGCAUGAAUAAAAUACAAUUAUCAUGAACAAGGAAAUAUAAUAAUAAUACUUUUAUUAUUGCCUCUAGGGCAUAUUUCCAACAGGUGACCACUUGCACUAGAGUCAAUAAUCUAGUUCACAUCACCAUGAGAUUAACACUGACAGAUCACAUCACCAUGUGACCAACAUCCAAAGAGUUUACUAGUGUCACUAAACUAGUUCACAUCAUCAUGUGAUCAAGACUCAAUGAGAUCUGGGGUUUGGUCAUGUUCUGCUUGUGAGAGAGGUUUUAGUCAACGGGUCUGAACCUUUCAGAUCCGUGUGUGCUUUACAAAUCUCUAUGUCAUCUCCUAGAUGUAGCUCCCACGUUCUAUUUGGAGCUAUUCCAAAUAACUGUUCUACUUGGAGCUAUUCUAAAUUGUUGCUCCAUUAUACGUAUCCGGUAUCUCUACUCAGAGCUAUCCGGAUAGGUGUUAAGCUUGCAUCAACGUAACCCUUUACGACGAACUCUUUUACCACCUCCAUAAUCGAGAAAAUUCCUUAGUCCACUAGUUACUAAGGAUAACUUUGACCGCUGUCCUAUGAUCCAUUCAUGGAUCACUCUUGUACCCCUUGACUGACUCAUGGCAAGGCACACUUCAGGUGCGGUACACAGCAUAGCAUACUGAAGAGCCUACGUCUCAAGCAUAGGGGACGACCUUCGUCCUUUCUCUCUUUUCUGCCGUGGUCAAGCUUUAAGUCUUAACUUCGUACCUUAAAACUCAGGCAAGAACUCCUUCUUUGACUGGUCCAUCUUGAACACCUUCAAGAUCAUGUCAAGGUAUGUGCUCAUUUGAAAGUAUUAUUAAGCAUUUUGAUCUAUCCUUAUAGAUCUCGAUGCUCAAUGUUCAAGUAGCUUAAUCCAGGUUUUCUAUUGAAAAACACCUUUCAAAUAACCCUAUAUGCUUUCUAGAAAAUCAUUUCUGAUCAUCAACAUGUCAACAACAUAUACUCAUCAGAAAUUCUAUAGUGCUCCCACUUACUUAUUUGGAAAUACAAGUUUCUCAUAAACUUUGUAUAGACCCAAAAUCUUUGAUCAUCUUAUCAAAGCGUACGUUCCAACUCCGAGAUGCUUACUCCAGUCCUUUAUAAGGAUCGCUGGAGCUAGCAUACCUUUUAGCAUCCUUAGGAUCGACAAAACCUUUCUGAUUGUAUCGCAUACAACCUUUCCUUACGACUGGUAAGGAAACUCGUUUUGACAUCCAUCUGCCGGAUUUCAUAAAUGCAGCUUGUGCUAACCUGAUUCCGACGGACUUUAAGCAUCGCUACGGAUGAGAAAAUCUCAUCGUAGUCAACUCCUUGAACUUGUGAAAAACUCUUCGCCACAAGUCGAGCUUCAUGGACGGUGACAUUACCGUCCACGUUCGUCUUCUUCUUAAAAAUCCAUUUAUCUCAAUGGCUUGCCGAUCAUCGGGCAAGUCCACCAAAGUCCAUGCUUUGUUCUGAUACAUGGAUCCUAUCUCGGAUUUCAUGGCUUCUAACCAUUUGUUGGAAUUUGGGCCCACCGUCGCUUCUCCAUAGCUCGUAGGUUCAUUGUUGUCUAGCAACAUGACCUUCAAGACAGGAUCAUCGUACCACUCUGAAGUAGUACGCAUCCUUGUCACCCUACGAGGUACGGUAGUGACUUGAUCCGAAGUUUCAUGAUCACUAUCAUAAGCUUCUACUUCAAUUGGUGUAGGUGCCAUAGGAACAACUUCCUAUGCCCUGCUACACACUAGUUGAAGUGACGGUUCAAUAACCUCAUCAAGUCUCCACCAUCCUCCCACUCAACUUUCCGAGACAAACUUUUCCUCGAGAAAGGACCUGAUUCAAGAAACAAUCCCUAUUGCUUUCGGAUUUGAAUUAGGAGGUAUACCCAACUAUUUUGGGUGUCCUAUGAAGAUGCAUUUUAUCCGCUUUGGGUUCGAGCUUAUCAACCUGAAACUUUUUCACAUAAGCGUCGCAGCCCCAAACUUUUAAGAAACGACAACUUAGGUUUCUCUAAACCAUAAUUCAAACGGUGUCGUCUCAACGGAAUUACGUGGUGCCCUAUUUAAAGUGAAUGUGGUUGUCUCUAAUGCUUAACCCAUGAACAAUAGUGGUAAUUCGAUAAGAGACAUCAUGGUACGCACCAUAUCCAAUAGGGUGCAACUAUGAUGUUCGGACACACCAUCACACUAUGGUGUUCCACGCGGUAUUAAUUGCGAAACAAUUUCCACAAUGUCUUAAUUGUGUGCCAAAACUCGUAACUCAGAUAUUCAUCUCUAUGAUCAUAUCAUAGACAUUUUAUCCUCUUGUCACAAUGAUCUUCUACUUCACUCUGAAAUUAUUUGAACCAUUCAAUAAUUCAGACUUGUGUUUCAUCAAGUGAAUAUUCUCAACAUCUACUCGAAUCAUCUGUGAAGUAAGAACAUAACGAUAUUCACUGCAUGCCUCAGCACUCAUUGGACUGCACACAUCAAAAUGUGUUACUUCCAAUAAGUUGCUAUCUUGUUACAUCUUACUGAAAACGAGGCUUUUCAGUCAUCUUGCCCAUGUGGUAUGAUUUGCAUAUCUCAAGUGAUUCAUAAUCAAGUGAGUCCAAACGAUCCAUCUGCAUGGAGUUUCUUCAUGCGUAUACACCAAUAGACAUGGUUCGCAUGUCUCAAACUUUUCUAAAACGAGUGAGUCCAAAGAUCCAUCAACAUGGAGCUUCUUCAUGCGUUUUAUACCAUUAUGACUUACAUGGCAGUGCCACAAGUAAGUGGUACUAUCAUUACUAUCUUAUAUCUUUUGGCAUGAAAAUGUGUAUCCCUACGAUCAAAAUUCAAUAAACCAUUCCUUUAGGUGCAAGAGCACUUAUUCAGGUUUAAUACUAAUCUUGAUGGUAGAGGGAGUGUGCGAUGUUAGAUCACAUCAAACUUGGAAACACUUCCAACACGUAUCGUCAGCUCACCUUUAGCUAGUCUCCGUUUAUUCCGUAGCUUUUAUUUCGAGUUACUAACACUUAGCAACCGAACCGGUAUCCAAUACCCUGGUGCUACUAGGAGUACUAGUAAAGUACACAUUAACAUAAUGUAUAUCCAAUAUACUUCUAUCGACCUUGCCAGCCUUCUCAUCUACCAAGUAUCUAGGGUAAUCCUGCUCCAGUGGUUGUUCCCUUUAUUACAGAAGCACUUAGUCUCGGGUUUGGGUUCAACCUCGGGUUUCUUCAUUGGUGCUGCAGCUGAUUUGCCGUUUCAUGAAGUAUCCCUUCUUUCCCUUGCCCUUCUUGAAACUAGUGGUUUCAUCAACUAUCAACAAUUGAUGCUCCUUCUUGAUUUCUACUUUUGCGAUGUCAAACAACACGAAUACCUCAAGGAUCAUCAUCUCUAUCCUUGAUAUGUUAUAGUUCAUCACGAAGCUCUAGCAGCUUGGUGGCAAUGACUUUGGGGAAACAUCACUAUCGCAUCUGGAAGAUCAACUCCCACUUGAUUCAAGUGAUUGUUGCACUCAGACAAUCUGAGCACAAGCUCAACGAUUGAGCUUUUCUCCCUUAGUUUGCAGGCCAAGAAAAUCGUCGGAGGUCUUAUACCUCUUGACAUGGGCACGAGCCUGAAAUCCCAAUUUCAGCCCUCAAAACAUCUCAUAUGUUUUGCGAUGUUUCAAAAACAUCUUUGGUGCCUCAAUUCUAAACCGUUUAACUGAACUAUCACGUAGUUAUCAAAACGUGUAUGUCCAAUGUUCGUAACAUCCACAAACGACGUUUGGGGUUCAGCACACUGAGCAGUGCAUUAAGGACAUAAGCUUUCUACUGUCCGCAUAAUUGCUACUAUCAACUUUCAACUAUAUUUUCUCUAGGAACAUAUCUAAAACAGUAGAAUUAAAGCGCGAGCUACGACAUAAUUUGCAAAAGGUCUUUUGACUAUGUUCAGGAUAAUUAAGUUCAUCUUAUGAACUCCCACUCAGAUAGACAUCCCUCUGGUCAUCUAAGUUAUUACAUGAUCCGAGUCAACUAGGCCGUGUCCGAUCAUCACGUGAGACGGACUAGUCAUCAUCGGUGAACAUCUUCAUGUUGAUCGUAUCUACUAUACGACUCAUGCUCGACCUUUCGGUCUCCGUGUUCCGAGGCCAUGUCUGCACAUGCUAGGCUCGUCAAGUUAACCCUAAGUGUUUUCGCUGUGUAAAACUGUCUUACACCCGUUGUAUGUGAACGUAAGAAUCCAUCACACCCGAUCAUCAUGUGGUGCUUAGAAGCGACGAACUGUAGCAACGGUGCACAGUUAGGGGAGAACACUUCUUGAAAUUGUUGUAAGGGAUCAUCUUAUUUACUACCGUCGUUCUAAGCAAACAAGAUGCAUAAACAUGAUAAACAUCACAUGCAAUCAAAUAGAGUAGUGACAUGAUAUGGCCAAUAUCAUAUAGCUCCUUUGAUCUUCAUCUUCGGGGCUCCAUGAUCAUCUUGUCACCGGCAUGACACCAUGAUCUCCAUCAUCAUGAUCUCCAUCAUCGUGUCUUCAUGAAGUUGUCACGCCAACGACUACUUCUACUUCUAUGACUAACGCGUUUAGCAAUAAAGUAAAGUAGUUUACAUGGCGUUCUUCAAUGACACGCAGGUCAUACAAAAAAAUAAAGACAACUCCUAUGGCUCCUGCCGGUUGUCAUACUCAUCGACAUGCAAGUCGUGAAUCCUAUUACAAGAACAUGAUCAAUCUCAUACAUCACAUAUAUCAUUCAUCACAUCCUUUUGGCCAUAUCACAUCACAUAGCAUACCCUGCAAAAACAAGUUAGACGUCCUCUAAUUGUUGUUGCAUGUUUUACGUGGCUGCUAUGGGUUUCUAGCAAGAACAUUUCUUACCUACGCAAGACCACAACGUGAUAUGCCAAUUGCUAUUUACCCUUCAUAAGGACCCUUUUCAUCGAAUCCGUUCCGACUAAAGUGGGAGAGACUGGCACCCGCUAGCCACCUUAUGCACCAAGUGCAUGUCAAUCGGUGGAACCUGUCUCACGUAAGAGUACGUGUAAGGUCGGUCCGGGCCGCUUCAUCCCACAAUACCGUCGAAACAAGAUUGGACUAGUAACGGUAAGCAUAUUGAACAACAUCAACGCCCACAAUUACUUUGUGUUCUACUCGUGCAAAGAAUCUACGCAAUAGACCUAGCUCUGAUACCACUAUUGGGUAACGUAGCAGAAAUUCAAAAUUUUCCUACGCGUCACCAAGAUCUAUCUAUGGAGAAACCAGCUACGAGUAGAAGGAGAGUGCAUCUACAUACCCUUGUAGAUCGCUAAGCGGAAGUGUUCAAGUGAACGAGGUUGAUGGAGUCGUACUCGUCGUGAUUCAAAUCACCGAUGAUCAAGUGCCGAACGGACGGCACCUCCGCGUUCAACACACAUACAGCCCGGUGACGUCUCCCACGCCUUGAUCCAGCAAGGAGAGAGGGAGAGGUUGAGGAAGACUCCAUCCAACAGCAGCAUAAUGGCGUGGUGGUGAUGGAGGAGCGUGGCAAUCCAGCAGGGCUUCGCCAAGCACCAUGGGAGAGGAGGAGGAGGAGGAGAGGCAGGGCUGCACCAACGAGAGAUCAAAUCGCGUGUUAUGGGCAGCCCUAUGCCUCACUAUUUAUAGGGGGAGAGGGGGCUGCGCCCCCUUCUAGGGUUUCCCACCCCCAAGGGGUGCGGCCAGCCCUAGAUGGCAAAGGGGGCGGCGGCCAGGAGGGGGAGAGAGGGGAGGCGCCCACUAGGUGGGCCUUAAGGCCCAUCUGGACUAGGGUUUGCCCCCUCCCACUCUCCCUUGCGCCUUGGCCCCUUGUAGGGGGCGCACCAGCCCACCUAGGGGCUGGUCCCCUCCCACACAUGGCCCACGCAGCCUUCUGGGGCAGCUGGCCCCACUUGGUGGACCCCCGGGACCCUCCCGGUGGUCCCGGUACAAUACCGAUAUCGCCCGAAACUUUUCCGGUGACCAAAACAGGACUUCCCAUAUAUAAAUCUUUACCUCCGGACCAUUCCGGAACUCCUCGUGACGUCCGAGAUCUCAUCCGGGACUCCGAACAACAUUCGGUAACCACAUACAAGCUUCCUUUAUAACCCUAGCGUCAUCGAACCUUAAGUGUGUAGACCCUACGGGUUCGGGAGACAUGCAGACAUGACCGAGACGUUCUCCGGUCAAUAACCAACAGCGGGAUCUGGAUACCCAUGUUGGCUCCCACAUGUUCCACGAUGAUCUCAUCGGAUGAACCACGAUGUCAAGGACUUAAUCAAUCCCGUAUUCAAUUCCCUUUGUCUAGCGGUAUUUUACUUGCCCGAGAUUCGAUCGUCGGUAUACCGAUACCUUGUUCAAUCUCGUUACCGGCAAGUCUCUUUACUCGUUCCGUAACACAUCAUCCCGUGAUCAACCCCUUGGUCACAUUGUGCACAUUAUGAUGAUGUCCUACCGAGUGGGCCCAGAGAUACCUCUCCGCUUACACGGAGUGACAAAUCCCAGUCUCGAUCCGCAUAAAACAAUAGAUACUUUCGGAGAUACCUGUAGUGCACCUUUAUAGUCACCCAGUUACGUUGUGACGUUCGAUACACCCAAAGCACUCCUACGGUAUCCAGGAGUUACACGCUCUCAUGGUCAAAGGAAGAGAUACUUGACAUUGGCAAAGCUCUAGCAAACGAACUACACGAUCUUUGUGCUAUGCUUAGGAUUGGGUCUUGUCCAUCACAUCAUUCUCCUAAUGAUGUGAUCCCGUUAUCAACGACAUCCAAUGUCCAUAGCCAGGAAACCAUGACUAUCUGUUGAUCACAACGAGCUAGUCAACUAGAGGCUCACUAGGGACAUAUUGUGGUCUAUGUAUUCACACGUGUAUUACGAUUUCCGGAUAAUACAGUUAUAGCAUGAAUAAAAGACAAUUAUCAUGAACAAGGAAAUAUAAUAAUAAUACUUUUAUUAUUGCCUCUAGGGCAUAUUUCCAACAGGUGAAAACUAUUCCUGAAGUAUUUUCAAUGCUGAAGUCAGCAGAGGUAGAAAUCAAAAAGGAACAUCAAGUGUUGAUGGUCAAUAAAACCACCAAGUUCAAGAAAGGCAAGGGUAAGAAGAACUUCAAGAAGGACGGCAAGGAUGUUGUCGCGCCCGGUAAGCCGGUUGCCGGGAAGAAGUCAAAGAAUGGACCCAAGCCUGAAACUGAGUGCUUUUAUUGCAAAGGGAAGGGUCACUGGAAGCGAAACUGCCCCAAAUACUUAGCGGACAAGAAGGCCAGCAACACUAAAGGUAUAUGUGAUAUACAUGUAAUUGAUGUGUACCUUACGAGUGCUCGUAGUAGCUCCUGGGUAUUUGAUACCGGUGCCGUUGCUCAUAUUGUAACUCAAAGCAGGAGCUGCAGAAUAAGCGGAGACUGGCGAAGGACGAGGUGACGAUGUGCGUCGGGAAUGGUUCCAAGGUCGAUGUGAUCGCCGUCGGCACGCUACCUCUACAUUUACCUACAGGAUUAGUUUUAAACCUUAAUAAUUGUUAUUUAGUGCCAAGUUUGAGCAUGAACAUUGUAUCUGGAUCUCAUUUAAUACGAGAUGGCUACUCAUUUAAAUCCGAGAAUAAUGGUUGUUCUAUUUAUACGAGAGAGAUGUAUUAUGGUCAUGCCCCGAUGGUCAAUGGUUUAUUAUUGAAUCUUGGACGUAAUAUUACACAUAUUCAUAGUGUGAAUACCAAAAGAUGUAAAGUUGAUAACGAUAGUCCCACAUACUUGUGGCACUGCCGCCUUGGUCACAUUGGUGGCAAGCGCAUGAAGAAGCUCCAUGCUGAUGGACUUUUAGAGUCUCUCGAUUAUGAAUCAUUUGACACAUGUGAACCAUAACUCAUGGGCUAAAUGACCAAGACUCCGUUCUCCGAAACAAUGGAGCGAGCAACCAACUUAUUGGAAAUCAUACAUACCGAUGUGUGCGGUCCAAUGAGCGUUGAGGCUCGCGGAGGAUAUCGCUAUGUUCUCACUCUCACUGAUGACUUGAGUAGAUAUGGGUAUGUCUACUUGAUGAAACACAAGUCUGAGACCUUUGAAAAGUUCAAGGAAUUUCAGAAUGAGGUAGAGAAUCAACGUGACCGAAAGAUAAAGUUCUUACGAUCAGAUCGUGGAGGAGAAUAUUUAAGUCGUGAAUUUGGUACGCACUUAAGGAAAUGUGGAAUCGUUUCACAACUCACGCCGCCUGGAACACCUCAGCGUAACGGUGUGUCCGAACGUCGUAAUCGCACUCUAUUGGAUAUGGUGCGAUCUAUGAUGUCUCUUACCGAUUUACCGCUAUCAUUUUGGGGAUACGCUCUAGAGACAACUACAUUCACUUUAAAUAGGACUCCGUCUAAAUCCGUUGAGAUGACACCGUAUGAAUUAUGGUUUGGGAAGAAACCUAAGUUGUCGUUUCUAAAAGUUUGGGGAUGCGAUGCUUAUGUCAAGAAACUUCAACCUGAAAAGCUCGAACCCAAGUCGGAAAAAUGCGUCUUCAUAGGAUACCCUAAGGAAACCACUGGGUAUACCUUCUACUUAAGAUCCGAGGGCAAGAUCUUUGUUGCCAAGAACGGAUCCUUUCUAGAAAAAGAAUUUCUCUCGAAAGGAGUAAGUGGGAGGAAAGUAGAACUCGAUGAAGUACUACCUCUUGAACCGGAAAGUAGUGCAGCUCAGGAAAAUGUUCCUGUGGUGCCUACACCGACUGGAGAGGAAAUUAAUGAUGAUGAUCAAGGUACUUCAGAUCAAGUUGCUACAGAACUUCGUAGGUCCACAAGGACACGUUCCACACCAGAGUGGCAUGGCAACCCUGUCCUGGAAAUCAUGUUGUUAGACAACGGUGAACCUUCGAACUAUGAAGAAGCGAUGGCGGGCCCAGAUUCCAACAAAUGGCUUGAAGCCAUGCAAUCCGAGAUAGGAUCCAUGUAUGAAAACAAAGUAUGGACUUUGACAGACUUGCCUGAUGAUCGGCGAGCGAUAGAAAACAAAUGGAUCUUUAAGAAGAAGACGGACGCGGAUGGUAAUGUUACCAUCUAUAAAGCUCGACUUGUCGCUAAGGGUUAUCGACAAGUUCAAGGGGUUGACUACGAUGAGACAUUCUCUCCCGUAGCGUAGCUAAAGUCCGUCCGAAUCAUGUUAGCAAUUGCCGCAUACUAUGAUUAUGAGAUAUGGUAGAUGGACGUCAAAACCACAUUCCUUAAUGGACAUCUUAAGGAAGAACUGUAUAUGAUGCAGCCGGAAGGUUUUGUCGAUCCUAAGAAUGCUAACAAGGUGUGAAAGCUCCAACGAUCCAUUUAUGGGCUGGUGCAAGCAUCUCGGAGUUGGAACAUUCACUUUGAUGAGAUGAUCAAAGCGUUUGGGUUUAUGCUGACUUAUGGAGAAGCCUGCGUUUACAAGAAAGUGAGUGGGAGCUCUGUAGCAUUUCUCAUAUUAUAUGUAGAUAACAUACUUUUGAUGGGAAAUGAUAUAGAACUAUUGGACAGCAUUAAGGCCUACUUGAAUAAGUGUUUUUCAAUGAAGGACCUUGGAGAAGUUGCUUAUAUAUUAGGCAUGAAGAUCUAUAGGGAUAGAUCGAGACGCCUCAUAGGUCUUUCACAAAGCACAUACCUUGAUAAGAUAUUGAAGAAGUUCAAUAUGGAUCAGUCCAAGAAAGGGUUCUUGCCUAUAUUGCAAGGUGUGAGAUUGAGCUCGGCUCAAUGCCCGACCAUGGCAGAAGAUAAAGAAGAGAUGAGUGUCAUCCCCUAUGCCUCAGCCAUAAGAUCUAUUAUGUAUGCCAUGUUGUGUACCAGACCUAAUGUAAACCUUGCCGUAAGUUUUGUAGGAAGGUACCAAAGUAAUCCCGGCAAGGAACACUGGACAGCGGUCAAGAAUAUCCUGAAGUACCUGAAAAGGACAAAGGACAUGUUUCUCAUUUAUGGAGGUGACGAAGAGCCCGUCGUAAAGGGUUACGUCGAUGCUAGCUUCGGCACAGAUCUGGAUGACUCUAAGUCACAAACCGGAUACAUGUAUAUGUUGAAUCGUGGAGCAGUAAGUUGGUGCAGUUGCAAGCAGAGCGUCGUGGCGGGAUCUACAUGUGAAGCGGAGUACAUGGCAGCCUCGGAGGCAGCGCAUGAAGCAAUAUGGAUGAAGGAGUUCAUCACCGACCUAGGAGUCAUACCCAAUGCGUCGGGGCCGAUCACUCUCUUCUGUGACAAUACUGGAGCUAUUGCCCUUGCCAAGGAGCCCAGGUUUCACAAGAAGACCAGGCACAUCAAGCGUUGUUUUAACUCCAUCCGUGAAAAUGUUCAAGAUGGAGACAUAGAUAUUUGCAAAGUACAUACGGAUCUGAAUGUCACAGAUCCAUUGACUAAGCCUCUUCCUCGAGCAAAACAUGAUCAACACCAGAACUCUAUGGGUGUUUGAUUCAUCACAAUGUAACUAGAUUAUUGACUCUAGUGCAAGUGGGAGACUAUUGGAAAUAUGCCCUAGAGGCAAUAAUAAAAGGAUUAUUAUUAUAUUUCCUUGUUCAUGAUAAUUGUCUUUUAUUCAUGUUAUAAUUGUAUUAUCCGGAAAUCGUAAUACACGUGUGAAUACAUAGACCACAACAUGUCCCUAGUGAGCCUCUAGUUGACUAGCUCGUUAAUCAACAGAUAGUCAUGGUUUCCUGACUAUGGACAUUGGAUGUCAUUGAUAACGAGAUCACAUCAUUAGGAGAAUGAUGUGAUGGACAAGACCCAAUCCUAAGCAUAGCACAAGAUCGUGUAGUUCAUUUGCUAGAGCUAUUCCAAUGUCAAGUAUCUUUUCCUUAGACCAUGAGAUCGUGUAACUCCCGGAUACCGUAGGAGUGCUUUGGGUGUACCAAACGUCACAACAUAACUGGGUGACUAUAAAGGUAUACUACGGGUAUCUCCGAAAGUGUCUGUUGGGUUGACACGGAUCGAGAUUGGGAUUUGUCACUCCGUAGGACGGAGAGGUAUCUCUGGGCUCACUCGGUAAUGCAUCAUCAUAACGAGCUCAAAGUGACCAAGUGUCUGGUCACGGGAUCAUGCAUUGCGGUACGAGUAAAGUGACUUGCCGGUAACGAGAUUGAACGAGGUAUUGGGAUACCGACGAUCGAAUCUCGGGCAAGUAACAUACCGAUUGACAAAGGGAAUUGUAUACGGGGUUGCUUGAAUCCUUGACAUCGUGGUUCAUCCGAUGAGAUCAUCGAGGAGCAUGUGGGAGCCAACAUGGGUAUCCAGAUCCCGCUGUUGGUUAUUGACCGGAGAGCCGUCUCGGUCAUGUCUACGUGUCUCCCGAACCCGUAGGGUCUACACACUUAAGGUUCGGUGACGCUAGGGUUGUAGAGAUAUAAGUAUGCAGCAAACCGAAAGUUGUUCGGAGUCCCGGAUGAGAUCCUGGACGUCAUGAGGAGUUCUGGAAUGGUCCGGAGGUAAAGAAUUAUAUAUGGGAAGUCGAGUUUCGGCCAUCGGGAAAGUUUCGGGGGUCACCGGUAUUGUACCGGGACCAUCAGAAGGGUCCCGGGGGUCCACCGGGUGGGGCCACCUAUCCCGGAGGGCCCCAUGGGCUGAAGUGGGAGGGGAACCAGCCCCUAGUGAGCUGGUGCGCCCCCCCCCCCCUUGGGCCCCCCUGCGCCUAGGGUUGGGAACCCUAGGGGAGGGGGCGCCUCCACUUGCCUUGGGGGCAAGGCACCCCCCUUGGCCGCCGCCCCCCCUAAGAGAUCCCAUCUCCUAGGGCCGGCGCCCCCCUGGGGACCCUAUAUAUAGAGAGGGGGAGGGAGGUCAGCGUCACCCUUGCACUUGGCGCCUCCCUUCCCCCUUGCUACACCUCUCCCUCCCGCAGAUGCUUGGCGAAGCCCUGCCGGGAUCCCUGCUGCAUCCACCACCACGUCGUCGUGCUAUUGGAUCUUCAUCAACCUCUCCUUCCCCCUUGCUGGAUCAAGAAGGAGGAGAUGUCACCCUGACCGUACGUGUGUUGAACGCGGAGGUGCCAUCCGUUCGGCGCUAGGAUCUCCGGUGAUUUGGAUCACGACGAGUACGACUCCCUCAACCCUGUUCUCUUGAACGCUUCCGCUCGCGAUCUACAAGGGUAUGUAGAUGCACUCCCCUCUCUCGUUGCUAGAUGAAAUCAUAGAUUGAUCUUGGUGAAUGUAGGAAUUUUUUUAUUUUAUGCAACGUUCCCCAACAGUUAGGUGGCACCGGGUUAUGCUGAGACCCCAACCGUCUGAAAGCAUCAGCCGCCUCAUUCUUCCUGUGAUCGAUGUGUUCCAGUUGAUAACCCUUAAAAUGACCAGCAAUAGCAUCCACCUCACGGCGGUAAGCCGCCAUAAGUGGGUCUUUGGAAUCCCAUUUGCCGGAGACUUGUUGAGCCACCAAGUCUGAGUCGCCGAAACAUCUCACCCGGCUUAAGUUCAUCUCCUUAGCCAUCCAAAGACCAUGGAACAAGGCUUCAUACUCAACUGCAUUGUUAGUACAGGGAAACAUCAACCUUAGAACAUAACAAAAUUUGUCACCCCGAGGGGAAGCUAAGACAACUCCAGCCCCCGAGCCUUCCAAUUAACUGGACCCAUCAAAGUGAAUAGUCCAAUAUGUGUUAUCCGGCUUCUCUUCAGGCAUCUGCAGCUCUGUCCAAUCGUUGAUGAAAUCCACCAGUGCUUGAGACUUGAUAGCGGUGCGAGGCACAUACUUCAAACCAUGAGCCCAAGUUCAAUGGCCCAUUUGGCGACUCGUCCUGUGGCUUCUCUGUUUUGAAUAAUAUCCCCUAAAGGAGCAAAACUGACCACAGUGAUGGGAUGACCUAGGAAAUAUUGCUUAACCUUCCGGCUGGCCAUGAACACCCCAUAAACAAGUUUCUGUCAAUGAAAAUAUCUCUGCUUGGACUCAAUAAGCACCUCACUGAUAUAAUAAACCGGCCGCUGAACCGAAUACUCCUUGCCAGCCUCCUUUCGUUCCACCACAAUGGCUACACUGGCCGCAUGGGUGUUAGCAGCCACAUAUAACAAUAAUGGCUCCUUAUCAAUGGGAGCAGCAAGGACUGGCGGCUCAGCUAGCUGCCUCUUCAAGUCUUCAAACACGUCGUUUGCAGCAUCACUCCAGACGAAGUUAUCUAUUUUCUUCAUCAUCUGAUACAACGGUAUGGCCUUCUCACCCAACCGGCUUAUGAACCGGCUUAAGGCAGCAAUAUGACCCGCCAGACGCUGAACAUCAUUGAUACACGCCGGCUUAGCCAGGGAGGUGAUGGCUUUGAUCUUCUUCGAGUUAGCCUCAAUGCCUCUGUUAGAAACCAGAAAACCCAAAAGCAUGACAAGUAGACCGUAAUCCAGCUGCAUGUACUACUAUUACUCCACCCAGAAACCGAUAUCCAAAAUGCAUCUCAAGGAAUUAAGUUUAAUGAAAAACAUAAUUACACAAUAAGAAAGAUGACAUGAUGUAGAUAGAAAGAAACUUAGCAAUAAGAUCAAUCCCCAUUGUUUUAUCCUUAGUAUCAACAAUACAUCACGUGCCUUCUCCCCAUUCUGUCACUCGGAUAUAGAUCAUCAUGAGGUUGAGCCCACCACUAUUCACCACUUCCUGUGAAGAAUUACCCAUCCAUCUUGGCCAGAGAAGACAAAUAACUCAGAAAGCAUACAUAUCUACUCAAUCAUACAUCAAAGAAACUUCAAAAGAUUCAAUUAUAUUCAAUGAACAAUCUGAUCACAAAUCCACAAAUCACCGGUUCCCAACAAACACACCACAAGAAUUACAUUGGAUUGGUCCUAGAGGAGAUUAUUGUAUUAAAGAUCCAAAAGUGAAAGAUGAUAAGUCAUCUAGCUACUACUAUGGACUCAUAGGUCCUAAAAGAACUACUCACGCAUCAUCAUGGAGGCAGCAAGGUUGAUGAAGAGGCCUCCCAUGGUGGCUUCCCCUCUCGCAGAGCACCGAAAUAGGGCUCCAUAUGGGAUCACUUUGGAACAGAGGCUUGCGGCGGCAUUAAAAUUCUCUCAUCUGUCUCUCUGAAGGUUCCGGGAAUUAUGGGAUUUAUAGGCGGAGGAAUUAGGUCAAAUGGAGCAACAAGGGCCCCCACAAGCCUAGAUGGCGCAACUAGGGGCUAGGUUACGCCCCUGGGCUUGUGGGCCCCUCGUCCAUCUUCUGGCCUUCUCCCGGAACUUUUAGGAUCUCUUAUUUUCCAUAAACAAUCGUCAUAAAUUUUCAUCGUGUUUGGACCUUUCUAGAUAUGGAUUUUCUAUGAAACCAAAAACAUGCAAAAAAACAGAAACUUGGACUGGGCACUACACUAAUAAGUUAGUCCAAAAAAAUAAUAUAAAAUGAUAUAAAAAGCAUACAAAAGUGAUAAUAUAAUAGCAUUUAACGAUCAAAAAUUAUAGAUACGUUUGAGGUCACAAUGCAACUAGGUCGCUCGCGCCCGUGGUCGCCCAAUGCCUAGCUUGGCUUUCGUCCUAACCAUGUCAAGAGGCUAGAUAGGUUGAGUUGUACGCCGCCGGUUGUCCGAUCGAUUGGUCAGGGAAGGAAUUCACGUGCACCGCUAGGUUGGGAUACCUCUGGUGAUCUAUCAACUCAAGGCCUGGUGCAAUACGUUUAUCUCCGGGAUGUUGUGCAGUCAAUGCAUCUCAAUCCAUAUUCUCAUGACCUAGACGAUCUAGUAGUUACGGCCAGAGGUUUACGCACCCGCGUUAGCCUACCGCCUGUUGUUCGGUGGCUAGGGUAGUAACCCUUGUGCCAAUGCCAUUUGGAAGAGUUGGGCCCCUCUUAAUUGCAAAAUUUUCAUCUGGUUGUCGAUUCAGUAUGGUGUGUCGACAUCGGUACAAGGAGGGGCCUGCAAGAUCAGUCAUCUACUUGCUACUUGUGUGAUCAGGGCGAAGAUACAAUGGACGGGACCUCCUAUUUGGCGUAAUGCACGCCGCAAACAAGCAGAACGCACCCGGCCUCCACCGGCGUCCCUUUUGGGCCAGGCCAUGCGGGCGGGACGCGCCCUGCUUUUUUUCUUUUGAUUUUUUUUCGUUUUUCAUUUUUUCUUUGUAAAAUAAUUCGGGAUUUCAACAUAGUUCCAAAUUUCUAAAAAUGCAAAAAAAAAUAUUGAAAAACAUAAAAUUUUCAUGAAUUCAAAAAAAAAUGCUCAUGACUUUGAAAAAAAUCAUGAGUUUGAAGGAAAUGUUCACAUAUUCCAGUAAAGUUCGAUAAUAAAAAAUCAUGAUUUUGAAAAAAAAUACGUGUAUUCAAAAAAUGUUCGUGAAUUUAAACUAAAUGUUCGUUAAUUCAAUAAUUGUUCUUGAUUUUUUUGAGUGUUCCUGAAUUUCAAAAUAUGUUACCAAAUUUAGUUCAUCUCUUCAAAACAUGUUUGCUGAUUCAAAAAAAUUCAUCAAUUGAAAAAAAUUAUGCAUUUCAAAAAAUGUCUGUCAAAACAUAUAAAUGUUCGUGAAUUUUAAAAAAAUGAUCGCCAAUUUAGAAAACUCUUCACAAUUUGAAAAAAAAAGUUUGCGAAGUUGUAAAAAAUGUUUGUGAAUUUAAAAAAUUAUUCGCCGAUACAAAAAAUAUUCACGAAUUUGUAAAAUAAUAUUUGCAAAUCCGGAAAUUGUUCCCAUGAAUUUGUAAAAAAUGUUCACGAAUUUGCAUAGUAUUUAUGAUUUCAAAAAAUGUUCACUAAUUUAUAACAAAAUGUUCAUGAAUUUUUAAAAAUGUUCAGGAUUUUAAAAAAUAUUCGCAAAUUUACAAAUUGUUCAUGAUUUUAAAAAAUGUUCUCAAAUUUGAAAGAUGUUCACAAAAUGAAAUGAAAAAGAAAGAAAGAAAGAAAAUAAAUAAAUAAGAAGAAGAAGAAGAAGAAGAAGAAGAAGAAAAGUAAAAUAAAAAACAUGGAAAAGAAGGAAAACAGAAAUGAAAAAAGAAAAUAAAAAUAGAAAAGACAAAGGAAAACUGAAAAACAAAACAAAUAAAUAAAUAACCAGGCCAAAAUGGAGAUGAAAAAGAAAAAACCAGCUCAAGGAAGGUUUUAAAACCUUCGCAAAACCGGUGGAAAAAAUCAAAAUGGGCUAGCCAUACCCUGGACAGACGGGUGGGUGGGGUGUGCGCUAGGUCGCUACACAGCGACCGACCCGGCAAAUAGGAGGCAUAUUCUCAUGGGGUGCAGCUUCUCUAGAAAGUUGUGAGGACAUGCAAUUUCUGAACAAGUUCAGUAACACAACAAACCCAAUAGCAGCUGUGUAUGAGGCAGUCCAAUCAAGAUAAUUGCAAUUCCAUGCUUGUAACAGGCUACGGACAUACCGGUUUGCAUGGUAAUAAAUCUUUUGUUUGUCACAUUACAACAGUACAGGUUCCUUUACGACAAUAAUAUAUGUGUCUUUGUCCAAAUAACUUCUGAAGAAACUAAUCAACCAUGUGAUGUGAACCUAGUGCCACUAUGCUCUCAUUUAUGCGGCAGCCAGUUUCUUGUUUGUAGAUCUCAAACUACUUCUCAACUGUAUCCUGAUUUAU